AUCAACAGAGAAAACUUCAAACACAAAUCACUCUCACCAUCUAAUCUCACUUUCCGGGAACAAAGUUGGUGGCGUAGGCCCAGGCAUUGUUGUUAACUGGGUCAGCAAGGUGGUCAGCCAAGUUCUCCAAUGGUCCCUUUCCGGUGACGAUGGCUUGGACGAAGAAUCCAAACAUGGAGAACAUAGCCAAUCUGCCGUUCUUGAUCUCCUUCACCUUAAGCUCAGCGAAUGCCUCUGGGUCGUCAGCAAGACCCAAUGGGUCGAAGCUGCCACCUGGGUACAAGGGGUCGGUCACCUCACCGAGAGGCCCGCCAGCAAUACGGUAACCCUCAACAGCUCCCAUCAAGAUAACUUGGCAAGCCCAGAUGGCCAAGAUGCUUUGAGCGUGGAUCAAGCUUGGGUUUCCCAAGUAGUCAAGCCCACCUUCGCUGAAGAUCUGAGAUCCGGCCUUGAACCACACAGCCUCACCGAAUUUGACUCCAUUCCUAGCCAAAAGCUCAGGGAAAACACACCCAAGAGCACCCAACAUAGCCCACCUACAGUGGAUGACUUCGAGCUCACGGUUCCUGGCAAAUGUCUCUGGGUCCGCCGAGAGUCCAGCAGUGUCCCAACCGUAGUCACCAGGGAAUUCUCCGGUCAAGUAAGAUGGAGGCUCACCAGAUAGUGGACCCAAGUACAAGACUCGGUCAGGACCGUACCAUGGACUUCCAGAGGGAGCAGCCUUGGUAGCGGUUUUCCUCAUGGAAACACGGCCAUUGCCUUGGAUUUUAGGGGCGGAAGGAGAGAGCUUGACGGCCUUUCCGGCGAAAGAUGGGGAAGAGAGAGCCAUGGUUGCAGCCGCCAUUCUGAAGGGGAAAGAUGAUCUCGGGUGAUGGGAGUUUGUGGUAUAAGUUUUGAGAGUGAUGGAAAGGGGGCAAUGCGCAGGGAUUAUAUAGGGAGCUGUGGGCGAGGUUCCUCAAUCCUUAUCUAGGCCAGUAUCUAUAUCUCUCAUUUCAUUGGGGGCUCAAGAUUUCGAUAUUUUCUUUGGAUUUUCCACUUGGCACUCUUUCCAUCCACAAAAACACUUAACGGGCAGUAGCCGAUGCCAGUAUCUAUCUUUUUUUUUUUUUAAUUCUCAUUUUGUCUUUGAAAUUUGAAUGCACAGUUGGAGAUUUUGACACUCACUAUAAUUAAAUAUUGACAACCACAAAUUAUUAGGACAAUAAACGAGUUUUGAAAGAGAGAAACUUGUUGAGCCCAUAUGCAGUAAAUUUGUUCUUCAAGUUAUGAUGUUGAAAUGAUGGCAGCAAAAUACAAGUCACUGAGUUUGAGUGGCUGUUAAGAUAUUUAUGUAAAAUAUCUACAUGGGGAAAAAUAUCUUGCGUUGCAGCAGUAGCACCAUGAAAAAUACUUGAAAUAGAUCAAAUCUGUACAAACUUUAUGAACCAAAUUCACCCCCCUCCCCAGUAGGCUAAAUUUAGUAUGGAGACAGAGUUCCUUUUGUCAAGCAGGAACAGAUAAACAAUUUACGGUUGAUAAGAAGCCAAUCAGCCAUUUAAAAAGCUUCCAAAUCUUAGCUUUGAUCAUUGUUAUUUCUUUUUCUAAUUUUGUGUUGUGUUUAUAGUUGAAGCAUUUACGGUAUUCUGCAAAAUAAGGGCAACAUUAUAUAGACAGUGAAAUGGAAAUAUAUGUUUCUAAAUGCAGACUGUUAGUAUUGUUAACGUGAUAACGAGCUUAGCCUUGGAACAAUUUUCUCAGGAAAAAGUUAGGAUUUUUCCUAUUUUGGUACAACUCAAAAGCGUUAUCUUAUGAUUAUCAAUGUCUGAAUUCCUAUUGGUUUGUAACAUUUGGGAUGUCUAUUUUGCAAUGUCCAGUUGGAGUAAUUUUGGUGAAGCUGAUCUAUCGAAAAUCUCAACCAAUUUUUGAAGUGUUAUUUGUUGCUCCAAUGAGAUAAUGCCACUUGUUAUGGUCGGAUAUAUAUUCCCCAAUACCAUAUCUGCUUGGAACAAACAUUAUUUUAUUUGUUUUUUUUUUACUGUUUGCUUACAGAUUAAUGGUUGACAGAAACAAGAAUCACGGAAUUUAAAAAGAAAAAAAGAAUUAAUUAAGUUUUUUCAUGAGCAUUCAAAAUUUUAAAUUGUAUUAAUUAAGCCUUUUUACUAUUAUUUAUUUAUUUUUAACCAUUACUGUCAAUGAUAACAAUUUCUAACCUAUUAUUGCCAGUUAGUAAAAAAUUAAAAAAUUUCAAAAAAAAUUAUUUGAACUUUUUAUAUCUAGAAUAAAUUUGGACAAAUAAAUAAUUAUUUGUGUAGGUUCAUCUUGGAUUUAAUCUUUUAAAAAAUAUAUAAAUUUUAAAAUUAAUAAAAAUGUUAAAUAAAAUUCAAAAUAGAAAAUUAUUUAAAUGUUUAAGUCCAAAAUUAUAUAAAGUUUUAAAAAUAUUAAUUUUUCUUAAAAAUAUGAAAUGUGUAUCAAUGUUUUAAUUUUACUGUAACUUUUAGACUAUAAAAAAAAAGAAUAGAUCGUAUAUAUAUAAUUUUAAAUUUUAUUGAUUCUAUUUAUAAAGUUAAAAAAAAUGAGUAUAAAUGUAUCUCAAUUGUAUUCUUACACGUGUAGCACUAAAAGUACUUGAACAAACUAAUAGAUAUUACAAUUUACUAAAAUAAAUAAAUUAGUUAAUAAAAAUUUUAUUUCUAAAAAACAAUUUGAAAGAAUUUUAAUAUUACCAAAUUUGAAAAGAGUUUUAAAUAUAAAAAAUUAAUCAAAUAAUAUGAAGAAUAAUAAUUUAAAAGGUAAACUACGUUGGUGGUGUUAGGUAGGUUUUAUUUUGGUUACUCAAUUUAAAAUAUUUUCAAUUUCGUCACUAGCAUUUUUAAAAUUUAAAAUUUUAAUCCCUACCGUUAAAUACUUAACGAAAAGUUGACGUGGGCCAUUUUUAUUGGCCUAAUAAUAAAUUUAGUCUUUCAAUACUUACACAUUUUAUCAAUUCAAUUUGAUUCUUAAUCUAACAAUUUAACAAAUUUACAAAAUUUGUCAUUUAGUUCUAAUUCUAAAAAAUUGAAUAAAUUUAGCUUUAUAUAUUUACAGAAUUUAAACCUUUAGAAUUAGAUUAAAUUAACAAAUUUUGUUUGAGUUUCAGAGUGCGGAGAAAACCGAAGUUAAAAUGAUCAAAUUUUAUUGGAUGAUGUAGGUCUCUUAUAAAAUUCCCUAAAAAUCCCUUCAUUAGGAAUUUGAACUUUAGAAUUUUUAUUUAGAUUUCAAAAAUAGUAAAUUAAAUGGUAAAAUAGUUAGAUAUGUAAUAUUUAAAGCCCAAACUAAUAACUAGGGUAGAAGAAGUACCUGAUUUAUGUAAUAUAAGUUUUUUCUUAGAAUACAAUUAAAAUGUUUUGAUAUUUGAGGAUCAAUUUAUAAUAUGAAAUGUAGUUUGAGGAUGUUAAUGCAAUUAACUCUUUCUAGAUAUUCAAGCGAUAAUUGUAUGUACAUGGCUGAUGCCUUUGUUAGUGAGGGAUCCAGCUUGGAAGGGUAACUGCAAUCUGUUUAAUCCGUUGGUUCGAUAACUUUUUUUAAUUAACUUAAAUCAUUUAAAUCGACUUUGAUUCAGUUCGUAAAGUAAGUUUUUCCAGUAAAUCGAGGUUGGAUUAUUAGGUUGAGUUUAUACGAUUAUAUAUUUAUUAUAAAAUAUAAAAUAUAGAUAUAUUUAUAUAAUUUAAAAAUAAUAUAAAAUAAGUUAACUUUUUCGAUCAAUUCAAUUUCAAGUUUCAAAAAUUAAUAACUGACCAAAUUAAUCGAUUAAGUCAAGGCCAAAACUAACCAAUUCACUCACUUGACUAAACUGAAAUUAAAAAAAAAAAACUGAAUGAGUCAUUUUUUUCGAUUUUUUCAACUAAAACUGAAAAUUGGUCUCCAUAAAUAUGAUAGUCUAAAGUUCAAAGAUUCAAUGUUUCUACAAGGUAAACUUAAAGGAUUUCGGUGGGAAAGUACUUUUCCAAUUAGUGAUGAAUAUAUUGCUUUUAAAAAGUGUUUUUUCGUCUAAAUAAAAAAGUUGAGAUUCGGAUGCUUUUGACUUUUGCUCUCAUCUUUUGCGUUUUGAAGUGAAAUGAUCAAAAUAUCAUUAUUUAUAGUAAUUAUAUUUAAAAUGUAUAUAAAAAAUUAGUUUCAUUUAUAUUUUUUAUAUCAUUAUAUUAAAUUAUUUAAAUAUCAUUUAUCAUUAUAUUAAUUUACUUAAAUAUUAUUCAUAAAUAUCGUUAUAUUAAAUUAUUCAAAUAUCAUUCAUCAUUAGGUAUAAAAUUUUAAAAUAUUUUAUUUUUGUAUCAUUGAUUUUAGAAGUAAUUUAUAUUAAUAACUCAAAAGGUGGUUGGAAUUUAUAUUUCAUGUAUCAUUAUAUUAAAUUAUUUAAAUAUUAUAUAAAUUAAUUAAUUUUUUUCUUUCCAAUAUCAUGUUUAAAAUAGAUAUUUUAAUUUUCAAUCACAAUUUUUGAUAACAACAUCAAACAUUUAAAAUUAACAAACCAUACUUUUUUCAUAAAAUUUUCAAAAACAUUUUUCAACACAGUAAUAAUGGGGAACUAAGCCUUCAUUUCUAAGGGCUAAGAAGGGUUGGAUGGUUAGUUAUGUCAAUCUGUUUUGAGUUGGGUUUGUGUUUAAAUUUUUUAAUUUUGGGUUGGUCUGAUUCAAUCUGUUUUAUUGUUUAAAAAAUAAAAUACAUAAAAAAUAUUUUUUUAUUUUUAUAAUUAAAUUUAUACUAUACCUCCUAAUUUUUUUAACAGUUAGUUAUAUGUCUUGCAAUUAAAUCUGUUUAAGGGUUGAGUUCUCUGUUUAAAUUAGAAAAUUUAUUUGAAAUAUAAAAAUGUUUAAAUAAAAAUAAUAAGCUUGUAACAACCUAAUUUUUAGUGGUAUCAAAAACAGUGAUUUGGGAUCACUAAAUCCGACAAGUAAGCUUGAAAAUAUAAUAAAUUAAUAAUUAUGGGUCAAAUGUGAAUUUAAAAGAAUAUUUGAAUUAGUGAAUUCUGUGAUUUAGUGAAUUUUGUGAUUUAAAAAGAAUUUAAUUGGUAAAUUGGGUCUAAAGCAAGGUAUCGAGACCUCGAAUUCAUAAGUCGAGCCAUAAAUAUUUUUAUAAAUAUUUAUGGAGUGUCAUUGAGUUAGUAUAAAAGUUUCGUUAGAAAAUUUUAAUGUUUGGAUAGUCAAUUAAUUAAAAAAGACUAAAUUGAAAAUAGUACAAAAUUUGUUAAAUUGUGAUUAAAUAGUUUUGGGCAAGAAAAUCAGCAAGAAAAUAAGGAGAAAUAAGGGAAAAAUUGGAAAUUUUGCAAAUUAAACAUAUAAAAUAAAGACAAAAUUGAAAAAUCUAGAGAUAUUAUCAUUUUUCUUCAGCCAAAACGCCAUAGGAGAGAGUUUUCAAGCUGGUUUUUCAUAUUUGUCAUCAUGUAAGUUCAAUUAUUGCUUUUUCUUUGUAAUUUUUCAUGUUUUGUGACUUUUACAAUUAAGUCCAAUUAUUGAAUUCAUUUGUUUUUGAUUCUAUGAAUGAUUUUGAUUCUUUGAAAGUUACCAUGAGUGAGUACUGGAAUUUUAUGAUGAAUUAUUAUAGAUUUUAAGCUUUAAUUUUAUUAUAUUAUGAUUUUAUUAAGUGAUUUUAGUAGAAAAUGAUUUUUAAGACUUAAUUGUGAAAAAGUUAGGAAUUGGGAUUUUGUACUGAAAUUCUGAAUAUCAAAGGCUGUAUAAUAGCCUAAAAUUAUUAGAUAAAGUGUUAUUUGAGGAAAAAAAAUUAGUUCAAUUAAAGUGUUAAUUGAGUAGGGACUAGAUUGUAAAAACUGUAAGUUUUGGGGUAAAAGUGUAAUUUAAAAAAUUGAAGGGCAUAAAUUAUGAAGUGAAUUAGUAUUGAGUUAGAUGCUAAUGAAUGGAAAAAUUUAUAUUAUAGAUCGGGAAUCUGAAGAUAAAUGCGGAAAAGAGAGUAUUAAAAUAGUCUUUGAACUUUUACAAAUCCUACAAAUUGGCCUAGGUAAGUUCAUACGGUUGAAUUUUUAUGGUUAAUUGUUAAUGUGGGAAUGAUAUAUUGUAUCAAUUCGUAUAUUGUUUUUGAAUUAUGUUUAUGGUAAAAAUGAGAAAAAAAAUGAGAUUGUUAGUUUAAAUUAAAGGAUACGUAGGAUUGAGUACAUACGUUCUGUAAUCAGUGAUGAAUUGACGAAUAAGCCCAUGGUGAAUCCAUGGAAAAAUUGUGAAAGGUAGGUAUGUUUCAGUGAAGAAAGCCAUACUAAGUUGUGAAAAGUAUGUAUGGUGUUUCAGUGAAGAAAACCAUACUGAGUUGUGAAAAGUAGGUAUGGUAUUCCAGUGAAGGAAACCAUACUGAGUUAUAGCAUUGUAAAAUAUUCAAGCAAAUCGUGGCACCGGGCAAACGAUGUACUCAAAUCCGUAAGACGAUCCUUAAUUUGACAAGUAUUUGUAAGUGCAAUUGAAGCUGAAUGUUGGAAUACAAGUUGAUAUUUAAUAUUGAGCUCAAUUGAGUAAAUUCAUUGUUUGAGAUUGUGGUUUGUAGGAAAUGUUGUAUUAUACUUUGAAAUUUCAUGAAUGCUAUGGUAUGUUAUUUUAUAUGAAUGUUAUUAAACUGAGAUAAUUGUGAAAAUAUAAAUGUUUGAAUAAAAGUUCUAAUUUAGUGGAACAUUGGAUUGAGUACUUUCGUUCAGUGACUCAUACGCAUUGACGGAAAAGACCAUGGUUGGACCAUGGCAAUAUGUGAUAUGUGAUUUCCGUAUAAGACCAUAUCCGAGAUAUGGCAUCGGUGUGAUAUAUGCUUCCAUGUAAGACCAUGGCUGGGCUAUGGCUUUGGUGUGUGAUAUGUGAUUAUGUGCAAGACCAUAGUUAUACUAUGGCAUUUUAAAAAACGAAGUACUCAAUUCCGUAAGCGUUUCCUAAAUUGAUUAAGAAAGGGAAGAAUUAAUGAAAUUAUAAAUUGUAUACUUGUUAUAAGAUGUUCGGUAAGAAUUAUUUUCUAUGCCUAUGAACUUACUAAGCUUACAUAAGCUUACUCCUGUGUGAUUAAUGUUCUUUGUAGAUUGAUGUGAAAUCGGUGGAUCAGAUCAACACAUCAAGGCACACUAUUCAGAUUACUUCGGUAAAUUUUAUUGUGCAUCUUAAGGUUUAUAUGGCAUGUAUAGGGUUUAAGUGAAGGUGUUAUAAACUUAGUUAUCGACAUUUUCCACUAAAACAGUUUUUGGACAGCAGCAUUGACAUGAUUUUAAAAAAUUACUAAAAAUGGUGGAAAUUGAAUUAGAAGAUGAGUAAGAUAUGAAAUUAAAGCUGAAUGAGUCUAUUUUCACAUGAAAGAAAUAGAGUAAGCAAAAGAGUUGUAUAUUUUUAGAUAUUUGAAUUUUAGUGAGACAGGGUCAGAAUAGUUUUUGAAAUCACAUGUUCUGACUUUAGAAAAUUAUUAAAAAUUGUACAGAAAGAAUUGGAAGUUAUAAUUUAUAUUUAUAGAUUCCUUAGUGAGUUUUUUUUCAAUAGAAACAAACGAGAAUGUUAUCCGAAUUCUGUACAAUGAGAUAAUUAAUUUUUAGUGAAGAGGGGUCAGAGCUGUCGAACAAUGAAACAGGGGAGACUUUAAAGAAUAAACUAUACUAAUUGACUAAACCAAAAAUUCUGAAAAUUUUAUGAUAAGAAUAUAUAUGAGUCUAGUUUCAGGGAAAAUUUACGGAUCUAAAUUUUGAGUUUUGUAACUUGAGUUAUAAUUAAAUUAGUGACUGUUGCGCAGGUGGACAGUUUUAUUAUGAAUGGUGAAAUGAAUUUUUUUGAUUUGUUUUAGUAUUUGGAAAAUUAUUAAUGUUCCCGGUUUGGACCCGAACUGUUUCUAUUGCAUGAUUUAGGGUCUCGAGAUUCCUUUUUAGGGACAUAUUGAAAGAACGUGAGUGAAUUAAUUUUAAAAGAAAAUUUUUAUGCUCCGAACUAGUAAGUUAAGUUAGGUAAUACCUCGUGCUCGACUCCAGCAACGGUCUCGGGUAAGGGGUGUUGCAAAGCUCAAAAAAUAAGCUUGAGCAAAAUUUAAGACUCGCUUUUAUUUGAGCUGAGUCUUAGAUAAGAUUUUUUUUCCUCAAAGUUGAACCCAAGUUAAAUAUACAUUUAAUAUAUAUUUUAAAUAUAAUAUAAUAUAUUUAUAAAUUAUUUUAAAGAAAAACAUUGCGUGACACGCUUUCUUCGGACCUAAGCAAAUAUUAAAAGACUUGGAACCUUGUUUCAACAUGACUCGACCAAUUGAUCAUGUCCUCAUCAUUUAUUUGUAUUGUUCAACUUUUUACAACAACAAAAAGAAGGCACAUUGUUCUAUUCAUUAAUGGUAGAGUCACUUGCUGUUGUCUAGCUCAAACUUCAAACGUCAAAGGCAAAAGUACGUUCAAUACAUUUACUACUAGAUGUAAUGGUAGAGUCACAAAUUCAACUUAUCUGUUGGAUUUUCUACCAGAAAGAUGAAGAUGAUACAUUCAAAACCACCGUACUUACUGAAUAUGAACCGGUCAUACUUCCAAGCCCGAUCAAGAUCAUUUUGUAGUAUAAAGAAACAUUAAGCAUAUAUAUUGCAGUAAGCAUAUGGUAGAACAUAAUAAUAGAAAGUUGAGUAAAAACUAGUCUCAGGCUUUGACUCAAUGAUAGGCAGCUGCACCCUGCAGUGCUGAAUGUUCGGAUAAGCCUAUGCUAGAAGAGUUCAGAAAUUUCACCGGUGUUUUCGGUCUUCGGCAUGUAGUCAUCGAGAUAUUGCUGAUAGACAUAGGAAAUGAAGCCCCAAAUAGCCAAAACCAUAGAUAUCACCUUUAUACCAUCCAUUUUGUCAUUGAAGACAAAGACUGCAAUUAUUGGAACUAUAGGCAAACCAAGUGCACUAAUGGCAGUGCAGAAGAGGGCAGACACCUCCAACACUAAUCCUACUGCACCAAUGUAGAAAACAGCCCAACAUAUAGCAGUCCAAAUCAAUACCAUGAGAUAGGAAAAUUUCCCAAGUCCAUAUUCAUCCAUUUCUCCGCUAAACCCUUUCCAAUCUCCGCUAGCAAAGAAGCCCACUAGUAUAGCACUUGAUGCAACGAGUGAUUGGCACAUCACCAAAUCCAAGACAACCUUAAAUGACUGCCUUACCACAAGCUUUCGAAGCGCAAACUGCUGUAAGGCAACUAACAGUCCAGACCCUGCUGUUCCCAAAAUGGUGCAUAUGAAUCCAGCGGCACAAUGUACUUGAGAAACUCCAGCAAGCCUUGAAGAGUUAUUAUUGAAUACAAGGAGCACUGAGGAAAUGGUGAGAAGGACUAGAGAAUUGAUGAUAAAAGGAGUGAACCUUUGGGAAUUAAGGAAGUACGAAAAGAAUGCAUUAAAAGCCAGCUGAGAUGCAGCAAUGAGGGUGACAGUAGAUAUAGGAAGAUACUGCAUGCCAACUGAAUAAAGAAAGCCAAUUCCAGCUGACAUCAAGCCGAAGGUUACAUAGACCAAACCCAGCAUCAUAAUUGAUGGUUGGUUAUUACUUCCAAUGCUACAAUGAUUGGCAGUGAGCAUUUUGGGCCGAGAAAUGCAAUAGAAAGGGACUAGAAUAGGGAAACCUGCAAAUUGAAUUAGUGUUGAUAGCCAUUUGCUUUUUCCACCUUUGUCAAAGUAAAGUCUUCCCAGCAAUGCGGCUACUGAUUGGCCGCAGAGGAGAAAGAUUAUACAGAGCAAUAUGCAAAUCCAGCGCUUGUAUUUCACAGUUCCCAACUCUGUUAUUACUUGGUUGGUGGCAUUUCCAUUUUCUUCCUUAGCUUCUUGAGCUGCCAAAUAUCAAACAUGAUGUACUUGAGUCUCAGUAUUGAAUGAAAUUUGAAAUAUUCUUUUUCUUUAAUGUAAGUUGGUGAUUCUAAUAUCAGGCUAGUUCAAUCCCCAAGUUUAAGCUUAAAGAGUGUAGACAAUUUGAUAUCAAGAUUGUUCUUAUUUCAGUCAGACUGGAAGAUUGAUUUUAUACUAAAAUCCAUAGAUAAAAUCAAACUGUUUUGAGUUCUUUUGGAGGAGAAGCAUUUUCCAUCUUCCAAGUUUGGUCUAAAUUUAACUUACUAUACAUUGAUCAGUACAAAAUAGGGUGCAAGUGAGAACUCUUAAUCAUAUAAAUCAACCCAAUUUCUAGUCUUCAACUAUCAACAUGCUUAGUUUGAAACCUGGUAUAUAUAAUAUAUUGCUGUAAUAAUUAUAUGUAUGCAUAAUCACCUCUAAAGGUAAAUUAUAUAUAUAAAUAUAUUCCCGGUAACUAAAUAAAGCCAUAGUCACAGAUGAAACACAUAGUGUAGUGGUAAAAAGUUUUUUUUAAUUAAUAAGAAAAUCAACUUCUGCAACUAAAAUAUCAUAUGAACAUAACUUUGGGAAGGAAAAAAAAUUGCAGAAAAGUAAGGUGAAGACUUACCUACGAUGGGUAGUUGAAAAUGCCGAGUUUCUGCCAUUUCUUGCAAAGGAUGAUUAUCCAGCACAAUAUGGUGAUGGUAAUACACACACGCAUAUAUUAUGCCUGAUUGGUGUGGACUUUUCAAUGGUGUCAUGCAAUUAUUUGCGUCCAGCUUUUUACUAUUAGGUGAACUUAGUGUUAGAAUUUGGACUAAUCCAACAUGAAAAUACUGAUUAUAUACAACAGAAGCGACUUCAAUAAAACAUUAAGUAGUUAAUACGAUAUAAAAUAUAUAAGCAUGAAUUAUUAAUAUUUUAAAAUUUAUUUACCAAUAUAUAAUACGAAAAUAUAAAUAUAAUAUGAAUAUAUAAUUUUUUAUUUAAUUUAAUAUUUAAACUAUUAUUUAAAUGUGUGAGUAUCACUCGAAUCAAAGAAAUUACUAAAUAAUUUUAUAUUAUUUAAUUUUUUAUUUUUAAAAAUGAUAAAUAUUGAGAUUUUAACUAAUUUACCCACUUAGAAAAUUGAGGUUCUAGAAUGUAAUUUCCAUUUGACUAUGAGUAGAGUUGAUUUGACUGUUUUGACGCCUUGUUCCUGUGAUUUUUUAUUUUGGUCAAUGAUUCACAAAGCAAGUUGAAAAGAAAAUUAAUUGGGGGGAUUAUUCUCCUGAAAAUUAAUAUGAAGUUGGACCCAAUGCUUUUAAUUUCGUAGCGGCCGCCAAAGGAGACCAGUAGGAUUUACUUUAUCUUUUCUUUGUCAUAAAAUAAUAUUAUUUUUAAUUCCAAUUAAUUAUAAAUCAAAAUAUUUUUCAUUUAAUUCGAUAACUGCAUGUUAUGGGAUUAAGGUUAAUUUUUUAAAGAGAGAAAUGGCAUAUUAUUUGGAGAAUUCCAGACUUUGGCUUGCAAUCCUGCGACAAGUUCUAUGGUUUCUUUGCUGUACGCCGAGUCUGUCAAAUUCAAUUGUAUUGCUAUUUAUACGAUAAACAUGAAAACGAAAUAGCUCCUGCACGUAAACAUUGUACUAUGCCAUCAACAACAACGACAUUAAGCAUAAUCAAUCAGCAUCAUUCUUAUACUUACAACCAAUGAAAAACAGGUAAUAAAUUGAUUAUGAUAUUUUUAUCUUUCUUCAUCACAUGGAAAAUCCCGAACUAAAUAACCCUAUUAAGUAUGAAAUUGUUUAAUUUUAGAUACUCAACUUACAUUUAACAACUUGUUAUUAUUGCAAUUCACAAUACAUAACACUAAGAGUUGAACUCUUAAAAUUUAGAACAAUUUGAUUUUCUUCUCUAUAUAACUUUGAUAAAGACAUUGCGGUAUUUCAUGUAUCAUAAAAUAAAACCAGUAGAGAAGCAAAACCCAAGUCAUUUCAAAUGCUAUUGACAACAUCACAUACUUUCAUUGGUACUACAACCUAGACCUAUCCAUGGGCCGGGCCCUAACAAAAUUAUAGGUCCGUUUGAUAGGCCCGGGCUCGACCCGACUUGAAAAAACGGGCCUAAAUUAUUGCUCAAGCUCAACCCAUAUUAUAGAUAACAAACCUGAGCCCAACUCAUAUUAAAAUUAUUUUAUUUUAUUUUUAUAUAAACAAUUAAAAAUAUAAUAAAUCAAAAAUACUAAAAACAUUAAAAUAAAUGUUUCUCAACAAACAAAUUGAAAAUAAAUUAAAAAAUAUAGUUAUACUUAAAUAACACUAAGACAAGUGCAACUUAACAAGAAAAUGACUUUAAAAUAGUAGUAAAAUUAACAAUAAAACAAAAGUUCUACAAUAUCCAAACAAUAACAGCAAAAUAGUAGUAAUAUAAUAGUGAAAUGACAACAAAAUAGUUAAAAAAACAGCAAAACAAUAGUUUUUUUUUAUACAAAUUCAGGUUAGGCCUAAGCCAAAAGAACCUUACUUGAGGCUAAACGGACAUUUAUUUGCUCAAGCCCAUUUUUCGAGAUUAUAUUUUUGCCCAAACCCUCCUACUUUUCGAGCGGGCCUUCGGGCCGGGCCGGAUAACCUUGCCCAUGGACAGGUCUACUACAGCCUAACAUGUUUUAAAAUUUACCAUAAAUUACAAUGCAAUAAAUUUGAUAUCCAUUAUUUCUUUAUAGGUUUUUGAAGCGUUUUUAUUCUUGAUUUAUUUAGAAGUCUUUCCUUUUUUAAACAUUCUAUCAGAUGUUCCAAGGUGAGGUUGUAAUUUUAUCAAAUAACGAUAUCGAUUUUUGGUACUUUUCAACAUAUAAUUGACUUAAAAUGCACCAUAAAUCAUGAAUUUUUUUUCAUUUUAUGGCAUAUUUGAUAUAAUAUAUAUAUGAUCAAUAACGCAAGACUUAUACUGCAUUCAAGAAACAUAUUUACCUACCUAAUUCAAGAUUCAUUUACUAUCACGAUAAUCAAUUGUUGAACGUCAAAUUUGAUCACCUAAUUUAAUUAGUUUUAGCAUUUAAUGUCUAGGGUUUUUUUUUUUGCCUAUAUAUUUGAAUUCUAUCCAAAAAGAACUUCAUUCUAAACCAUUUAAAAGGCUAGUAAAGCAUUCCUUUUUUCCACCAAUGAUAAGUUUAUGUUCCAUGUGAUUUCUGGGCCAAAUCAAUCGCCUUUUGUUUUUCUUUUAAUACAUCUAGUUGGUCAUAGACCUCAUUGAAAUCUUUGACAAGCAAGUUGAUUCUUACCUUACAGUAAGCCUCAACAGGAGCAUCAGUGGUUUUAUUAAAAGGUUGGUUUGGGUUUAAAAAGCGUUUAGCGACAGAUUCAACAGACGGAUGACCAAACGAAUAAGGUUUACCAGCUAGUAAGAAAAUAAUAAAAAGAAUCUCACCACCACAUAUAGUGGAGAGCUUAGAGAUUUUCUUAUAAAUUCCUGUACGUCGUUUUGAAAAUGAGAUGAGCCUAUCAUCCUCAUUUUUAAUGAUUUUAAUCUCAAUUUUUUGUUUUCCCCUAGUUUCUUGCCCGAGCUUGCCAUUGCAAAAAAGAUCAAAAGAUAAAAGAAACAAACAAAAAAGUUAAAAAUGAAUGUUUUACUAGCCUUUUAGAUGGUUUGGAAUGAAGUUCUUCUUGGAUGGAAUUUAUAUAUAUAGGCAAAAAAAAACUCUAGAAAUUAAAUGCUGAAACUAAUUAAAUUAGGUGAUCAAAUUUGACGUUCAAUAAUUGAUUAUCGUGUUAGUAAAUGAAUCUAGUCUUGAAUUAGAUAGGUAAAUAUAUUUCUUGAAUGCAGUAUAAAUAUUAUGCUAUUGAUUGUGUAUAUAUUAUAUCAAAUAUGCCAUAAAAUGAAAAAAAAUCAUGAUAUUUUGGUGCAUUUUAAGUCAAUUAUAAGUUUAAAAGUAUCGAAAAUCGAUAUCGUUAUUCGGUAAAAUUAGAAGCUCACCUUAGAAUAACAAACAUCACCAUACUUUCAAUGGUAGUACAACCUAACCUAUUCUAGAAUUUACCAAAAUUUGCAAAGCAAUAAAUUUGAUAUCCGUUAUUUCCUUAUAUGCUUUUGGAGCAUUUUUUUUCUUGAUUUAUUUUGAAUUAUUUCCUUUUUUGAACAUUUUAUCAGUUAUUCCAAUGUGACCUUCUAAUUUUACCAAAUAACAGUAUCGAUUUUCAACAUAUAAUUGACUUAAAAUGUACCAUAAUAUCAUGAAAUCUUUUUUCAUUUUAUGACAUAUUUGAUAUAAUAUAUAUACGAUCAAAAACACAAGAUUUAUAUUGCAUCAAGAAAUAUAUUUACCUACCUAAUUCAAGACUAGAUUCAUUUACUAACACGAUAAUCAAUUGUUGAACGUCAAAUUUGAUCACCUAAUUUAAUUAGUUUCAGCAUUUAAUGUCUAGGGGCUUUUUCUUUUUGCCUAUAUAUAUAAAUUUCAUCCAAUAAGAACUUCAUUUCAAACCAUUUAAAAGGCUAGCAAAGCAUGCCUUUUCAAUUUUUUUGCUUGUUUCUUUUUUCUUUUGAUCUUUUCUGCAAUGGCAAGCUCAAGUAAGAAAAUUAAGGGAAAACAAAAAAUUGAGAUUAAGAUCAUUGAAAAUGAGGACGAUAGGCGCAUCUUAUUUUCAAAACGACGUACAAGAAUUUAUAAGAAAAUCUCUGAGCUCACUACUUUAUGUGCUGGUGAGAUUCUUUUUAUUAUUUUCUCACCGACUAGUAAACCUUAUUUGUUUGGUCAUCCUUCUGUUGAAUUUGUUGCUAAAUGCUUUUUAAACUCAAACCAACCUCUUAAUGAAACAUCUGAUGCUCCUGUUGAGGCGUACCAUUUGAAAAGUCACCACAUCUUUUUAAGUUGUUUUAUGUAUUUAAAAAGUCAUGUUGUCAUAUCCCUUUUUGAUAAAACUUCAAAAGAAGAAGAAGAUGGUAACAAUAAAAUGCAUGCAUUAAGAGCAAAUAAAUUAAAAUUAAAUUUGAUUAUACAUUUGCAUUUUUUGCUUACUAAGUUUGUGUAAAUAUUUACGAUUAUAAUUAAAUAAAAAACUUAAAAUUUAAAAAUAGUAUAAAUGUUUUUUUAAGUAAUAAAAAGGAAAGGUGAUAGCGAAAUUAAUCUAAAUGUUAUAUUUAGAUAUAUUUUACAUGUAAAAAGUUUUUAAUUACGGUUUAACGAUUUAUUUUUUAAGUAAUAUAAAGAAAAGGACAUAACGAGUUUUGCUAUAAAAAAUUCUAAAUGUUAUGCUUAGAUAUAUUUUAACGUAAGGAGAUAAAAAAAAACAUGUACGCGAAUUUCUAAUUUUGUUUUAGCGAUAUAUUUUAUUAAAUUAGGAUAAUGUUGAAUUCUAUUGUUUUGUUUUUCUUAUUGGGAUAUUAUAAAAGAAGUUGAUUAUUCAAUAUUUUUUUUAAAAAAAAUUGCAACAAAACAAUUAAAAAAAAAACCCAUCUAUGGAAAUUCAAAUGAGUACCCAUAAAAUAAUACAAUAAUAAUACCCAAUAAGACAAUGAUAUUACUUGACGGAAGUACCAUGAAGAUGAGCUCAAAUGGUUGCUUAAAAUUAGAGAGAAUCAAGUUGUGCCAACAAAACAAUGUUAAUUUUUUACCAUAUUAGGAAAAAUAAAAAUAAUGUAUACAUGGUAAUAAUGAAGGAUUAAUCAGUAAUACCAUAAAUUGACAAUAGACGACCCUUCAAUUUUUCUUAGUUUGUUCUUCUCAAGUGUUAAUAUUAUAUUAAUUUUGCCGACAUAGCAACACUAGCGGUUAUUGUUGUGUUAAGUUAAUUAAAAAUGUAAGGAGUGCCUAUAGAAGGGAUCCAUAUUCUAAGCUUUUGAGUGCAGUGAGUUUCUUCAAAUUUCUCCCUUCUCUUGUUGAUUUGUUUUGUUGUAUGGUGGGUAUGGAUGCUCAGCACUCUUAUCGUCAAUAAUGCUGUCGACAUUCAUGAUUAAAUAUAAUAAGUCCAUUACUUGAUUACUUUGUGAUUGCUUUAUUUAGUAAUGCAUAUUGCAUGGAAAAUUAAAUUCAACAACACUUAACUUUACCUAGUUUAAGAAUAUGACUGAUUAAUCUUGCAGUAUUUUAAACAAUUUCUUUAUUUGUAAUAUUUUUAAUUAUUAUAUAUGUUAAAUAGGAUAUCUUAUAUAAUUUUUUUUGAGAUAAUUAAUUUAUAAUUAUGUAAAUAAUAUAACAUUAUGUAAAUACUUAAAGUUGAACUGAGUUUAAGUUUAAUCUUCAUAAAUUUCAAUCAAAAUUAGCUUUGGCUUAUUCAUGAACAUAUUUAGGCGUAAAUUAUUGAAAAAAUUAAAUCAAUUGAAAAAUAAUAUUUUUUAAUGAUUUAUUUUUUUAUACAAAUUUAAUAAUUCAAAGUAAAAAAUGAUAGAAUUUUUUCUUUGAAAAAGUGUGGAAAAUUGUAAGUAUAUAAUAGUUACUUAUCACUUAAUGGAAAAUAUUUUUAAUUAUUUCAAAUUUAUUUUAAUUAUUUUAAUAUUAUAUUAUCCUAUAAAAAACUUUAUGUUUAAUAUUUAACUUUUAGUGAAGUUUUGAAAAUUUAAGGAUAAAAUUUAUAAUAUAAUUUUAACAAUUUAAUAUCUAUAUUUAUCAAAUAAUUUAAUUAUAUUUCAUAAUUAAUUUUGAAUAACAUAUUAAAUAAAUUUUAUAACUUAAAAUUUCAAUUUAUUAAACAAUAAAAGUUAACAAUAACAUCAAAAGGAUAUUUAACAUAUAAUUCAAAUCUAGUUGCUUUAAAUAUUGAUAAGCAAAGCAAACGUGAAAUGAAAAUUUUAAUGCUUUUAAAAUAUUUGGCUAAGGUAAAAAUUGUGGUGCCCAGAAAUAAGUAGUUUUAAUUACACUUAAAACGUUCUUAAAUGAAAGCUUUUGUAAAGAUUUACUCAGUGUAAAAAAGAGAAACACUAUACUCUUUAAAUUAAAAUGUUCGCUUCAAAUAAAAGUGAGAACUACAAGAUAAAUAAAUAGAAAGAGAGACAUAGGCAUAUCAAGAGUAAGUGUUCAAAGAUUCAAAUGGCUGCAACAAAAGAUAAUUUGAUUUUAGCUCAAUUUAUAUCUAAAAACAUUUUCUUAUUAAUAAGGUUACAUUCCAUUCUCUCACUCAAAAUAUUACAUAAUUAUACCCAGUUUUGAUGUCGUAAAAUACAUCCCCAAAUGACAAAUGAUUAUGAGAGAAGUUCCCAAUAACAUUUUGCAUUACUAUUGGAUCUCCAAUUUGUUUGGUACCGAAACACCACAUUCUAUGUCACAUCAAUCUACAUUUUUUCCUUCAAUAAAUGACCAAAAAAGGGAAAAAAAUACAAAAGGAGACGAUAUAUUGCAGUUCAUCAAUAUUCAACAAAAUGUAAAGAAAAAAAAAAAAGGAAAAAGAUUUACUUCCUGUUGGUUGCCUGCUUGCCCCCCAUCAUGCUCCCAAGGCAAUACCAAGACUCAUAGUUCCAGAUCGAGGAUGAAAAAUAGAGGGCAAUUUUACUCAAAAUCGUUGGAAACAUUCAAAUCCGAAAGCUUAGAUCGUGUAUACGUCUUCCAAGUUCACUUAUUCUGCUCCAACUAUUUAUGUAUGUUUUUUGUAUGUCCGAUGUAAAAGCGCUCGCUAUCCAACUUCAUGCGUUCUCAGGCCUGUAAUUAUGGAAUCAGUUAUAUGCAGGUUAAUAUAACAUAACAAAUGAUGAUAAAGAAGACCUGACACAUUGUCUAAAAUUCAGAAAACUCGUUAGUUCUUCAUAAUGAUUAGGAGCUUACAGUUGAAUGGGGAAUCUGAAGAAGAAUGAGUGAAGUGCAGUACAAACACACUGAAACGACUACUCCAGCAAUGAAAUUAUAUAGCAGCCGUCGGUUGUCUUUUGUGGGAAUGAAAACUGACUUAAGUUUAUUGGUCAAGUCGAACAGACGAUGAGAUAUCUGCAGAAGCAAGGCAAGAUGGUAGCAAAAGUGAGCAAGAUGAAUACAAUUGAAACUGUUGACAAAAUAUGGAAGAGAGGAGAGAAUUUGCUCACCAAGACAUAAAUAGCUGUUGUGAGCAUGAAGUUGAGUAGGGGAUAUUCCGGGAUAAAAGAAAGAAGCCACUUGGGCUGUCCAUUAGUCAUGUCUGAUCUGCAGGUGCGAAAUGCAAUUAUAACAAUCUUGUAGAUAUGUAAAUAUGUUAAUCUUACGUUGGCUUCAGUCCUUGUUGAAUUAUCAUGCUUUUUAUGAAGAAUCAAGAGAUGGAACUAGUUAUCCAGGAAAACCAAUUUCACUAACAGGCUUUUGUUUUAGAUAUAAUUUGAGGAACAGAUUAAAACAAGACGUUUAAAUGGUCAACAAACCUCAACCAGAUAUGAAAUUGUGAAAUGUAAGUCUCCAGAGUUAUCUUGCCAAGCCACCUAGGAAGCACAAAAAUGUAGCAUUAAUUAGAGCAAUGCUAAAAUAGCGCCAGAAAGUCCUCAAAAGGCAAAUCAAUAACCCACAGUCUAGUAAGAAAGCUGGAAUCGAAUGAAUUAGUUAUUUCCAGAAACAUACGCAAAGAGAGUCAAACUGUAACUUCGAAGCUGCUGAGUACAAUUCCGCAAGCAAAUGUAGACACUAGAAUCACAAGAAAGAAGACAUGGGAAUCAGAUUCUAUUUACAUGAUAUUCCUUGCACUUUCACAUAAACUUCCUCUAGUGUUCCAAGUAAACUAGAAAAAAGAUGGCAUUAAUACACACGUUAUAGGAAUCCAAGAUGUGUAUGGGUGAUAUUUGUUGUAAGUAACCUUGUCCAGCUUGUAAAUACAUUCAUACCACAUAUAGCCAACCUGAAGAAUUUAAGAAAUAAAAGGAAAAAAGCCUCCAUCAAAAACCAAAUAAGCAUAAUGGCAAUAUAGAGAUCUAGAGAUCAGGCAACUUACAAAUAAAGCAAUUGCAACAACACUUGCUUUGAUUGAAAAUUUUCUCUUGGUUUCACAUUCCUCCAAUUUUUCCAUCCAUUUCUCAACCUAAGAUUUAAAACAUUUCAAUGAAAAAGUUAAUUGUGCACAAAGAGAACUAGAUUGAUGAUUGAAAUUUUUUACUUACAUUUGGAUGAUAGUAGGCAUACAUCAUUCCAAUUAUCCAUACAUAGCGAUCCAGACCAGAUCUAAAAUGCCACUCAUGCAAUCGGUGGAGAUCAGGUUUUGCAGGAUCAGUGUACCCUGCCAUUUGAAGAGACAAAAUAACUGAUAUAAGCAAACAACUACAACAUAUCCCAGCAAAGAAGAAUGACUGGCUUUGAAAUAAGUAUAUUAAAAAUGAAGUUCAACUGAAAGUAUACAUAUUUAAAGCAAAGACAUUCCAACUUUAAUGCAAUAAAAAGAAUAAAAAAUAUUGAAGCAUAUCGAAAGGCAUCAGAAAAGGACAUGAAUAUUCUAAGCUGGUUGAUAAACAAAUAAAAAUCAGAAGAAUGAAGUCAGAAGGUUGCAAACCUAAUAGGAUAGCUAGUGGACUCCAGAAUAUUUCAAAAACUCCAGGAAUUUCCCAAAUAAAGAUAACUACAAGAAAGCAUGCAAGAAUUUUCACAGCCAUCACCGAUGGUAUCUCAUUAUACUUGUUGAAAAUCCCAAGAGCUCCAUACACCAUUACGGUGAAAAGCGUGUGCAUUGGGCAGAUGUAGUAAAGCAUGUAGUCAUUGUUGAGAACAAUACAACAAAAUGCCACAAAGAAGUUUAGUCGCCACAUCAUCUGCAUUAAAUAGAAGUUAUAGAAGGAUAAGAGGUUUACUGAUAUGCAUAAAGUGGAUAUAUAGUAUAACCCUUAAUAACUGGAAUGCUGGAAUGGUAUAGCGUAUCACCUGAGCAAAACGUGCUAGGCUAAAGUCCUUUCUGAUAUAAUAGUAUGAGAAGUUGCCAAAUCCCGUCAUCCAAACAUAUGCAGCAAUGAAGACACGUAUUGCAUUAUAUAUCUCCGCCGCAGCAAAAUAAUGGUACAUUAGAAAUAGCACCUGCAAAAAGCCCCUCCAAUAAAAGACAUGUGAAUACAGCUGAAUUUAGUACAGAAUAAGUAAUCUGCAGAGAGCAUGGAUGCCAUGCUACUGCAAACAUAAGCAAUCUCAUAAAUCAGGAAUUGGUGCAUGGGAACAUCAGUGCAGGUCCAAAGACAGAAUACUCAUAUCAAUUAUCAUAAAGCAUUUCAUACGAUAGUUUCACAAUUUAUAGGGAAUAUGCUUAUCAAUAUUAGAACAAAUGAGCAAGAUUAAGAAAAGCCAAUGAACAACUGUUAAGAUUAAAUAUAUGGAUCAAAAUUCAAAUAAUGAUUUAGGUAGCUAUUACCAAACAGAAAAAAGGUACUGCGGCAGAAAGUUAUGACAUUGACCUUUUCCGAGAUUUAAAAAUGAAAUUACGGUAUUGAGGAAAGUAAACACAAAAGGAACAUAAGGAAAUAUAAUCUAAAUACCACCUUUUCAAAAUUAGGUGAUUGGAAGGUGCCUAUGCUUCAGUAGUUACUCAUUCACAGGUUACAAGUUAAACAAUUAACACUUGCCUGCAUCCAUCCUUUCCAUUCUUCAGUCUGAUGCCUACUAAGGUACUGCAUGGUCUUUCCAGAGAAUGCUGAUUUGUCACUAUGCUUCGUCAAAGAAGUCAUUGCAGAAACUAUGAUGAGAAGAGCAUAGAGAAAGAGGAAAAGGUCGCGGUUGUAUUUCUGUACAAGGAAAUACACAUAAGAAAUCAUAUUGAGAAAAACAAAAGAACAAAAAAACUUUUAAUGUUAAUCAACAUAAGAAAGCAAAGUACCGACUCUCAACCUACCAUAAAUGUGAAAAUAUACAGCUACUUUAAACCAUUUAAAGAGGAAAAAAAUUAGCCAUCAAACAUUUCCAACCACCAGAGAAGUAAAUAAUUUCGGACAAUGUAUGGUAAUCCUUUAUUUUGAACUAUAAGCAAAAGGACAUAGUGGUCAAAACCUGCUUAUUAAAGAAGUAUCAAAUAUUUACCCAAACCAGAGGACCCAAGAAAGGAUGCAAGUACAUGGGAAGAAAAAAGGUUGUUUAUCAUUCAACUAAAAGGAAAAUGAGGACAACAAACAAUGAGCUUCAAGGGUAGUGGAAUGCAAAAAGUAAUUGAAGAGACUUUUAAGAGACUAGUAAACCAAAACUAAAGCCUCUUUCUGUCAUUUUGAAGGGGAAAGGAAUUAAGAGAAAACCAGAUGGACAUAGAUAAAAGUAGGAUACCAACAUAACCAGAAAGCACAAAAUAAUAUAACUAUAAAUAAUAAUGAAAAUGAGGACCCUAAUAAGUAUGCAGAUGCAAUAGUAUAAUGUUUAUAACUAACAUUGCUCUCAACCACAGAUGAAAGCAUGAAUUACAAUCAACAACACAACCAGGUAUAAAAGCACCUUGGUAGAUUCACCUAGUAAAUCUGUCCGAUCACAUAUGUAGAAGUACACCAGAAUAGCCCCAAACUCGGCCCUGCAUUAGAUUGCGUAGUCAAAUAUAAGACAAAAACAGAAAGCUGCCAAAAAAAGUGUCUUUCUGUUUAUAACUAACAUUGCUCUCAAAGUGGUUCGGUGUUCCAGAAGGAAAGAGUCUUCCAUGGUCAAAAACCUGGAGUCAUAAAUGGUAAGAUGAGUUUAGAGUACAAUCAUGGAAAACCAUAACAACACUGAAACUUAAAGAAAGCAACCUAAUCAAGUUUGUUCUGAUGGAUGAAGCAUGGAGCUUAGUAGAUGCUGAUCUUGUUAGACCCCCUUCAAGCAAAACAGCCCUGUCAUCUUCUUUAAUUGUCUCCUUUCCUAAUACAACCAGAUUACUAUCUGAAUGGCUGCAAAUGAAACACCGUCAUUAGCAUCAGCAAAUAUUGAAGUCAAUAACUCUAAAGAAUAGUGAUAUAAGCGUAACAAAUUUGUGCACCCGCGCUAACUCCUACUUGAAAUGAUUACUUACGCUUUAGAAAGAGAUGCCGAUUUCUUGUAUUCUAGGAACUCUGAAUAUAUCCAUGCAAUGAAAACUGGGAUAACUCCUAAGAGAAAAGACACCUGUAACAAUUAUAAAAAAAAGGCUUCAUUAAGUAUUUUGGGUAAAACUAGUCAUAGAAGAACAAGUUGAUCAGUUUAAAUAUAUAUAAAAUAUUAUAAAAUAGUAAGAACAAGUGACAUAAGUUAGAAUAGUGGAGUGAAAUAUUCACAUAAUGCAUGAUUAUAGAAGUUUAAAAGAUGAAAAAUAAAAGCCCAAUUUGAAAUAGAUGUUGAAAUAAUUAAAAUGCCACUCCUGCAUUAUAACAAUUGCGCGUAAGUUCUUUUGAUAAAAUAUCAAGUAAAACUUCAUAAACUUCCCAAUCUCAUUCACAGUUUCACUUUGAUUUCCAUUAUGAACACCAGUAUCAUCACAACUAACCAUAAUUCAUCAGAUUCUCCAUACACAUUGUGUCACUCAGUUGUGAGUCAAAUCUUUUCACACAUCAAACCAAGCAAGCCACUUAUGUAAAUCUAGUAACCAUAGAACUUUCAUAGAUUCUUAGUAGAAACAAGAAAUUUAACCCUCAAAAGUCAGAAGUCAGAAGUAUCAUCAUUGUUAAUCUCAAAAGAAAAAGAUAAUUUUCUACAAACAAACACGAGCUUAUGAGUAAGCUCUGAAACUCUAUAGAAAAAAAAUGAGGGGGCCUGAAUCUUAGAUACUUCCUUAAUAACGAAACAAAAUAAACAGAAUCCAAAAUUAGUAUAUAGAAAUCCACAAAUUCAAUAAUUGCAAAAAAAACAACUACAAAUGUUUUCAGCUAAUAAAUCACAGUGUCCAAAUUCAAAAGAUUUAAAAAAAUCUCAAAACUAAAUCUUAACUUAAACAAAAAAAAAUCAAUGAAUCAAUAAAAUUCUAAUUCGAAACCGUACCUGUCCAGGCGUAAUUGGCCCAGAAACCACCAUUUCUUUUCUGGAUCAAACAAUAACCUCCUCCAACUGUGAAAUUUGCAACAGCACCGAAUUAAACCAAUCCUCAAAAAAUGCAAAGUCUAAAUUAAAAGUGAGAAGGAAAAACAAAAGAAGAAAGAAUAGUUACCAAAGAAAGAGAAAACCAAUGAGUAGAAUAGAGAGAUUGUGCUAGGACAUGCUCAUAAAUACAACGCCUAAAACAAAUUUAUGUUUUAAUAAAAUAAUAAAAUAAAGGGCGAAUUGAAUAUUUGUAGACGAAGGAGAUCUCUAACCAGCUUGCUUCAAGAAUAGAGAAAAGAAAGGAAAAAAAAAAAAACUUCAGAUAUGACGUCGUUUUCACUCUCUCAAACGGUUGUUGUUGCCAUGGUUGCUGUUGUUUGCUUGGGUCUCUUGUUGCUAUUUUGCUUUCAGCUUUGUGCGCGUUAAUGUGAUGUGAGAAAAAUAAGAGAGAAAACAUAAAUUAUUUUAAAAAAGAAAAACAGAAAUUUCUAAAAUAAUUAUUUCCAGCAGAUUACAGCUGCUACAGAUAGAAUGUUUCCUUUUUUCUUCUAUAAAAACAGAUUGAAUGUUUAAUUAAAUUAUACAUAAUAAUAGUCCAGUGAGUUAGGAUUAACAUUCUAAUUUAAUUAUCUUUAUGUAUUUUCUAUUAAAGCUUCUUUAGCUCAACUUUGGUAAUAUUGUAAAUUAUUAACAGUGUCAAAAUUUAAGCAUUUUCUAAUUUUUAUAAAAAUUAGUAUAUCCUUUUUUGGUAAGAAAAUUAACGUAUUUUUAUUAAAUUUAAUUAUUCAAUUUAAUAUAAAAAUGAAAAUACAAUGUAUAUUUUAAUUUUAAAAGAUACAAUAAUCUAAUUAUUAAUCUGUCGUUAAAGAAAAUGGAUAUUGGGUCAUUACUUUCUUAUAAUUUUAAGGCAUAAUAAUUUUUUUCGUCCUCCAACUUUAUAAAAAAUUAUUUUAACUCUUCAUUUAAAAUUUCAUUACUUUUAACCCUUGAAUUUACUUUAAAAGUAAUAUUUUUAACUUUUCUGACAUGAAAUACAUAUAAAUUGUCACAUCGAUAACUGUUAGUAUUUCGUUAAUUUUUUAAAAUUUUAAAAAUUCAGAAAGUUUAUAAAACUCGUUUUAAAAAUCAUUAAAAUUAUUUUUAAAAAAUAUAAAAAUUAUUUAAAAAACAUAUUUUAUAUUUUAAAAAUUAAUUAAAUGAUGGCAUGUCAUUCAUUUGGCAGUUCACGUGUUUACCACAUUAGAAAUAUUAAAAAAAGUUAAUUUUGUCAUUUAUUUUAGGGUGAUUUGAUAAUAAAAUGCAAGUUUUAAGAGUUAAAAAAAAGAUGAAAAAUUAAAUGAAAGGCUAAAAUAAUUUUUUUUAUAAAGUUAGAAGAUCAAAUAAUUCAAUAUACCUAAUUUUAAUAUAUUCUGAACGGAGGGUGGACCUGAUGUGAAAACUUAACAUAGACCUUCAUCGUGGGCCAUUAAAAGGCUAAUGAUUUUGCUUUCUUACUUUGAUCGAAGUUUAAUUGAAUUUUGAUUUCGAUUGUUACGGAAUAUCGUCAUUGCAAAGUGAAUCGCACUAAUGUGAUAGACAAUAAUUGAUGACAAGUCAUAUUUUAUUGAUAUAUAAGAGACGUUUGAUUUCAAUUCUCAGCCGUCCAUCAUAAAUACUUUUGAUUUGCAAAAUUGACCCUUAUAAACCUAUGGAAACCUUGUUUUUGACCUUUCUGCAUGUAAGGGUCCGUUUGAUUGCCAGUAAAAUAUUUUCCGUAAAAUGAUUUCUGGAAAAGGUUUUACUUUUCUGUAAAAUGACUUACUGAAAAAUAUUUUCUGGUGUUUGAUUGAAUCUGUGUAAAAUAUUUUCUGCUAUUUGGCAGAUUUCCUGAAAAUAUUUUCCGGAAAAUUUAUUUUUACAUAUAUUAAUAUAUAUUAAUAAAUAUUUAUAUUUUAAAUUAUUUUUACAUAUAUUGCAAUGAUUUAUUUAUAAAUAAAUAAAUAAAAUUAAAUAUAUAAUAAUACUCAAUUAUUAAGCUACAAUAUUAACCGUCAUAAAUUGAAAAUAACCAAAGUCAAAUAAAUUAUUUGUAAUUGUGUUAAAAAAACAAAAAAAAACAAGGGUUGAAUACUUAUAAAUUUAGCUUCCAAACCACAAUUAAAAAAAUACUAAUCUAUGCAUUUAUUUAAACCAUAUAAGAUGUAUUUACCUACCAAUAUGAAACUUUGAAUCUUUUAAACAGAUUCAGCAAGACCAAAAUGUUAAACAAAAGAAAAGACAUAUUCCAAAUCCUUAGUAAAUUGUUAUAGACUGUGUUUGGCGUAACUGCUUAAGUGCAUCUACUAUCAAAUUGCUAGCCACUUACAACUAAAAAAAUGGCAAUGUCUGCUGCCAGGAAGCUUGCUGGGUUCAAAUCAAAACACACAAAAACCAAAACUUAGCCUAAAUAAUCUAAUCAUAAAACACUACUCCGACUGUUAGCGUUGCAUUAACUGAUUCACCAUCUGCUAUCAAAUUGCUAGCCACUUGCACCUUUCUUUAAUAAGACUUUGAUUACUUCCAGAUGGGACCCUUGAACAGUAUAGUGAAGUGGAGUGAAUCCCUUGCGAUUAGUGGCUCUCACUGAAACUCCUGAUGAAAGCAGAGUUCAGACAACCUCUAGAUGUCCUUUCUACGCCGCAAAAUGAAUCGCACCCAUGCCAUCCAUGGCAGCAGCACCAACAUCAACAUUUUGCUUGCAAAGAUAACUCACUACCUGUGCUUGCCUUUUGGAAGGCAAAAACAUAUACAGAUGGAUAUUCUGAACAACCCAAAAGAACAAUGUUGUCACGGGGCAGAAUUGAAGUUAAAUAUCCAGGUAACUAUCAUGAUAUUUGAAGCCAAUAAGAUAACAACCUCAAGACAUAGAUUCAACUUCACAUCAACCUCUAAAAUGCUUCAGACAUAUUUGUGUCCCAAGUAAUAUGAUUUAUCAUAGUAGCUGCAAAAUUCAAAGCAACAUUAAUAGUUACAACAUGGUACCAAAUACUUGCUUUAUAUAGCACAACAUGCAUUCUUAAAUAUUUUGAAAAGAAAAAUCUUCAUAGGCUGUCCAUCUUAAUUCUGUUAUCAAGGAUACAACCGAAUGAAAUCUAUCCAAGCACACACAAAAAACAGGUCGUACCCAAUGCACAAGGAUCUUGGCUAUAAAUAGGGGCAGGUCUAAUGUAUGCUGCCUUCCCCUGUUCACAAAGGUUGUUUCAAGGUUUGAACCCAUAACCAAGCAGAUAGCAAGUCAGGGACGACCUUCAAAAUCUUGCCUAUUAAAACACAAAACUUGUAGCUAUAGUUUGUAUCCAAUUGGGUGAUAAGAGGAUAGCAGCUAUGGACCAAAUGAAAAGUUUAGCCAUAGUCUUUAAAAUCCAAAAGGGCAUACAUUUUAAGUUUAAAAUGAUUGGUUUUCAAACAAUAGGUUUAACACUAUGAAACAAGCAUUUUAGUCCAUCUAAACAACAUCUGUCACUCUAAAUAAAACCAAACCUAUAUUCGCUCAGAGGUAUACAAAUGCCAUAAUAAGUACCUGAAAAAUAGUCAUUUUGGCGUUCCACAACAUCUGAACCUUGAACUGCAUACAAUUUUAGCAACAAGUAUAUACGCAAUUUUCAACAGUCAUCAAACAGAAUAUGAAUAACAGUAACCAUUUUCUUUGUAAUACUUGAAAAAUCUUUCAUUUUCAGGAUUCAGUGAAAAUAGACAUUCUCAUUCUCAUCUAAUAAGCACAAUAGCAAAAAUUAGCAUUUUGAUAUUGAUGUUACUUAUUAAUGUGUAUGCUUCUGAUUUGUGACCAACUAGAAAUCAGCAUGACAGAGCACUGAUGUCUUUCCAUACAGUGUAAUUUUCAUAGAUUAAUCUGUUCAAAUUUUGAGCAUUCUUCACUUUUGCUAUAGAGGCUUCAACGCUAAGAGGAAUCACUAGAUGAUGCAUUUUUUGGAUGACAUAAAAUUUUCAGUAGAACUUAGCAGUGUACUUGCAAAAUAUAAACUCUGCUGACAGGUUCUGAAUGCUAAAUGAGUUCUUUGCAUUUAUUUCCUUUUCUUUUCAUUUUUCCUCUUCACUGUAAGCAAACAUUUUACCCCCACCUUACUUUUACCUUACAGUAUCUAAAAUGUAGGAUCAAAGCUCACCUUGCAAGAAAAUAACUCAACAAUGCAGUCUUCUUUUGUGGGGAUCACUCGCAAGUCAAGUACAGGACUUGCUUCAAAGUUGAAGAGCGCAAGUUUUGGAAGUUUGCACCUGAAGAGCAUCGAAGAACAUAUAUAUAAUCAACAGAUAAAGAAGAUGAAGAUAAAAGGCAUCAAAUUAAGCCCUGAGGUUAGAGCUUUAGAAUGAAUGAGAAACUUGGAAUAAGUCAAUUAAAAAAAAACAGUUCCUUGAUAGCCAAAGCAAAAAAGAGAUUAUGACUGAAUAGAUCAAAUUUCCUUUUUCUUCUCUGACCUCUCUUCUCAAGAUUCAGCCAUAGAAGCUGGAAAAGCACAAGAAAUACAAAGAAUGGCAGAAGGAACUAGACUCAAUACCCAUUCUAGAUUCAACUUGUAACACCCCUUAACCCCGAACCGUCGCCGGAACAGAAUUACGAGGCAUUACCGGACGUAUCGAACGAUUUACAACAAUUCUUAAAUAAAUAACCAAUAUAUUAAAAUAAUUCAUAAAAUUUAUUAGUUUGUUUACCAAAUGACUUCAUUUUUUCAUUUUUUUUUAUAAAAAUUUCGGCAGCAUUUCUGCUUAUUUUUACAUAAAACCCCCUGCAAAUUAAAACCAUAUAGUUCCCAAAUAUCAUCAAUUCAACCAAUUAAUUUCACAUUCACAUUUUCUAUUCUAAAUACUUCUAAUCAAACUCAAUCUACACAAUAUCAAUUUAAAAUUUAACAAUGUACUAAUUAGAUAAAAUAGAUAGACUUCUUUCAUUAAAAUCCAUAACCUUUUAAUACUAACAUUUUUAACCAUUAUAUAAUAAAACAUAAUAACCUUUAUACACAAUCUAUGUACAUGCCACCUUUACCAAAGGAAAAAUACAUCACCAAGUUUUGCCGAAGCCGGGAUUAAUCUGGAUGCUGAACCGGGACCUUUGACUUCUAUUAACCUGCGCACGGAAACAACCGUACGCUGAGUAAUUCAUACUCAGUGGUAUUACCAUAAUUCAAAUUAUAACAAUAAUGUACAUGUAAUGCAUAAAUCGUAUAUACAAUUUAAAUUAAAUAUUUCAACAAUAGCAAUUCAUCAACCAAUAUCGUAUAUCCACAAUUUGAGUUUGAAUAAUUCACGAACCUUAGGUUCAUUUCUCAAUCUCAUUUCACAUUUCAAUUCACAAUUCAACUUUUUCAUAUCAUUUCAAUAGCUCGUUUGACCAACUCGUUCGGUUUAUCAUUUCAUCAUUUACCCUAUUAACAAAACUCGGACUUUGGCGGAUACACGGAUCCAACCAAACACACCAGAAUGGCACCCAGUGCCUCAUCGGAUAGUUCGAAGCAAUAGUUGACACCCAGUGUCUCAUCGGCCAAGCCGAAGAAAGUUGGUACCCAGUACCUCAUCGAAUCUAUCCGAAGAAAUAUAGUGACACCCAGUGUCUCAUCGACUCGAGGUCGAAGUAUCCCUGAACUCUUCCAAUCCUAUGGCAUGCCAACUAUAUCCGACUCAGCCCGACUAGUUAAUAGGGUAUUUAAAUCACAUAUAUUCUCAAUUCAAUUACAAUUUUUCACAUUUUCAAUUCAAUCAUUUUUCCACCUUUCAAUCAAUAAUUAUUUCACAACUUCACACAUUUUCACAACUCAAUACAUUUCCAUACAACUUAAUACCAUUCACAAUUCGAUUCAAAUUCAUUUCCCGCUUUCAAUCAACAAACAAUUUAAAUAUUAUUUCAUAUCAACUAUUCAAUUUAAUUCCCACUCAUAAUAAUAAUAAUAAUACUAAUAAUAAUACUAAUACUAAUAUUAAUACUUACCUCACAUUUCAUUUACUAGACACAUAAAUUAAAAUUUAACAUUAAAAAAUAAAUAAUUUGAAUUAUAGUAAUACAAACCGUAAUUUUCUCGAGUUUACUCCUCGAUAAUCUUCUCUUUUCCCUUCCGUGCCGACGCUUCUGGUUCUUUGCUAGCUACGAAAAUGAUAAUAAUUUAUACUAUUAAUUUCAGCACUAAUUAUGAUAAUAAUUAAAUUUCUAUUCAAUUUCUUCCUUAUUCUCAAUUUAAUCCUAACUAAAUUCACUUACUUUCCUAAUUCAAUUCACACUCUAUUUCUAUUCAAAUUUCAUCCAAACUAAAAUUUAACUAUCACAAUUUCAGCAUAUUUUGGUAAUUUCGAAUUUCCCUCAAUUUAGUCCCUAAAACAUAAAACUUAUAGUUUCUUUUACAAUUUAAUCCCUUUUUCAAUUCUAACUUAAAAUUCCUUCAAGUUAAUCCCUAAUUCAUCUCUUUUGUUCGACAUAAACUAUACUUGAAAACCUAUGAACUUACAAAAUAUCAACUUAAUUCCAUCAAAACUUUGUUUUAAAGCUUUUAGAACAUUAGAAUUAAGAGGAAAGGGCUAAUUUGACUUACCAAAUUAAAUUCAAGCUUCAAAAACCAUAUUUUCCCUUUUUCUUUUUCUUUCUUUCUUUCUCCCCUGUUUCGUCUCUUCCUCUGUUCCUUUGUUCUUUCUAUUCUGUUUCUUUUCUGUUUUGUUUCUUUCUUUUUCUUUUUAUUUCCUUUUAUUUAAUUACUUUAAUAUAAUAAUAAUUAAAACAAAUAUCUACUUAGUAAUUAAUAAAAAUAUUACAAAUGUAUGUAUUUUAUUAAUACACUUGUAUUAAAUUAUCACCAUACAUUUGUCUUUAUUUAAUUUAUUUCUUAAUAUAAUAUUUAUAAUGUAAUUAAUUUAAUAAUAUACUUUAUAAUUAAUUUAUAUAUUUAUAUAAAUAAUAAUAUAAAAAUCUAAGAUUUUUACAAUGUUAUGUCGCCUCAACUUCCAAAUGUGGCUUAAUUGUCCAUUUGGUCCCUAUUAUUUUCCUUUAAUCUAUAAUUAUGCUUUCACUCUUUAUUCAAUUUAAUUCUUUUUACUAAUUACUCAUAAUUAAACUAAAUUCACCUAUCUAAAACUUAAUUAAACACACAACUAGUCUCGUAAAUAUUUCUAAUAAUUAUUUUCGGACUCAAUUUACUAGGACGGAGGCCCGAUAUUAUAAUUUUCCGAUGCCCAUGAAUUUUGGGUCAUUACACAACUGGACACACUUAAGGAAUCUAAUAACCAGAAUUAGAGAGAGAAAAUUCUGUAUUAUAUUAAACAAAAAUUAGAGAGAAAAGGAAGGAAAACAGAAUGCAGAGGUAAAAUAUUAGAGAAAUAUGCAGAUACCUCGAGGAGAUUAGAGAUGAAUUUUUCUCGACUGUGGACCUUAAUUUUUUAAGGUUUCUUCAAAAUACAGAGGUAAGGCUGACGGUCGAGCGACAGAGACGACGAUGCUGAGAUGGUGAGGUGAGGCCAACGAACGGAGAUGAGGAGCCGAAGGAAGAUACAGAAAUGAAUCAAAGAACAACAUGACAGAUCACAUCUACAUUGAGGAGGACGUGACGGUCAGACGACGAGAGCUUCGAUUGGGGGGAAUUGAGUUUUUCUUGGGCAUGGGAACAACCGAUCAAGGAUGGGGGAAGGGGAAGGGGAAGGGGAAGGGAAAUGGAAGAUUUGUGUUCUUUCUAAUUUUCCUGAAAAUGUCUUACCGAAUUAGAAACGGUAAGACAUUUUCCAAAAUUAACACCUUCUUUUCCCGUGUUUUGUAAUUGGUUUUACAGUAUGAAAAUAUUUUCAGCCAAUCAAACACCGAAAAUUUCAGAAAAUUUUACACCAAUCAAACGGACCCUAAAAGUGCAUAUUAAGGAACCCACUCUUCUUUUUCGAUCAAUUGAUUAACUUGAGAAAUUACCUCACUUUGGUCUAUAAGAAAAUUAAAUUUCAUCUCCAGAUUAAUUCAUAAAGUGAUACGUUUCAGAAUAUAAUUUUUAAAAAAAAUGAAUAUAUGAUCAUUCUAAAUUUUAUUUGCGAAAUUAAAAAUAUAUAUCAAAUCAAACCUUGGAAAUUUCUGUUUUUUUUUUUCUGUUCCUUUUGUUUGGUAUGGAGUUAGAGCUGUAGUUGCAGGCUGAAAAUGAUGGGCAGAUGCUUUAGCUUGACCCAGUUAGAUAGUCUAUUAAUCUUUCUUUUGAAUCUAAUCUUCAUUAUAAUCUCUAAAUGAAUUGUUGGAAAAGCUGUGGAACUUUUUGGGGAAGAAAUAAUUUGUACAAGUGUAAAUAUAUAUAUAAGUAAAAUAAAAUUAUUAACAUCGUAAAGCAAUUUGACCUAAAAUUCACACGUGCAUUAUCUACAUAUGAUAAUAUUCAAAUAUAAUAGUAUCAAAAUUAUAUUAAUGAAAAGUUAUGAAAAGAUUUUUAAGAUUGUAAAUUUGUAAUAUAGUAUAUCAUCACCAACCCAAAUUAUCCUGCUAAUGUAAAUCAAAUUUAAAAUAUUGAUUGCCCUUUAAUUUUCUUCUUGAAAUUUGGUGAAAUACAAUGUUCCCCACAAUUCUCUCUUACUCCUGUAAAUUACUCAUUAAAAUGGCCCACUGUUAAAUUAAUUUGAAUUUUUAAAGUUUAUUUCUUUCUUUCUUUCAACAAGUCUGUAUUAGGAGCAAAAUGUUAAUUCUGACUCUUGAUCCAUAUAUAUAAUUUAUAAUUACUAGAUUGGUUGGAAUUAAUUAGGGAUAGUCAUCAUUAUUACAAACAAUCUGUGUAAAUCAACUGUUUAUUUUAUUACAUGCUAAGAAGCCAUCGAGAUACCUCCUUCAGAAACUAGUAACGACAACAAUAAUAGCAAAAAGAAAACAACCGUAUUAGUAUUUCAAGUCGAUAUCAAAUAUUAUUUUUAUUAGUUUAUAAUUGAUUUCUUUUUUCUAUUAUAUAUAAAAAAACCAUAUUUUUACCCAAAAAAAUAUUAUUUAAUUAACCCUUUAAUUUAUAUUAAUUUGGAGUACUGUUGACUUAUUUAUGCUCGAUGUUCAUACUUGAAUUUGAAUUUGGGUAAGUAUUCAGUAGAUAUGAAUUUUAGUUAACUAGUUUAGUGACUGUUUUUCUUGGAUUAGUGUGUAGGCCAAAAACCACCUUAUUCACUGGAUUAAGCAUUUUUAUAUUAUUUGACUGCAUAUUGAAUUAUAUAUUCAACGCUGUUCAAGUUAGGGAGCUGAGCUGAAGGAGGAGCAGGACCAUAUUUGUUUUAUUUUAUUUAAGCUAUAUUUUUGGUGAUCUCAACACGAAACCAAGUUUCUAAUAAUUUCGUUCAAGACUUGACUGAAACGUGGCUUCUACGUCUCUCAAGUCAAAUUUAUAACAACAUCAUAAAUGAUAGGCACUUACAUUAAUUUCAAUUAAUUAACUACUCCAUGCUAUAGGAAUAAAUUUAUAAUUAAAAUAUUGAGGAGAAGAAUCUAUCAAAUUAAGGGGACGUUAGGUCAUUUGCCAUGAAAAUUUUAAAUCUAAUAAUUCAUAGUAUAUAGAAAGUUUGAUAUCUUUAAUUCAAUUGGUGCUCUAAGAGUUUAAAAACUGUAAAUUCAAACAUGCUCUACUAAUUCAUUUUAUUAGUACCAUCUGAUGGUUUCAUAUUAAUUAUUCAUUUCAUGUUACAUGCGGUGUUCAAAAUUAGGUUUUCACUAUAAGCCACUUUUUAUUUGUAUAUAUAUGGUUUAGGACUAGGAUCCAGCCUUAUAAAGACAGGAUGAUGACUCAUAACUUUCUCAUUCAGCUCAACUUUAGUGGUUGUUUUUUUCUCCUGCUGCUUAAUUAAUUAAUUAGCUCUUAAUUUCUGAGUAGAGUUCAGAUUAUAAGCUAGAUAGCCAGCUCAAGAAAAGUUUGUAGUAAAGGAAAUUUUAAGGUAUAUGUAAUGCUCAAAUUCUUCACUAAAAAUGCCAUCAAGGAUAAUGAUAUAUAAUACAACUACGCAUAUAAAAUGCAGUUUAAUUAAUCCAGUAUUACAAGCCUGCAAAUCCUCUUAAUACUAGGUUUCUUGUUCUUCAAAAAUCAACCAUAUUAUGUCUGACCUUCACCUCCACAUCCCCCCUAUCAAAGAAGCUUUUACCUCUAAAUGUUUGUUACAGACUCAAAACCAAGUUUCAAGAAGAAAAAAAAGAAGAAGAAAUCCUACUCCCCAUCUAGUCCUUGAAUGUUAGGCCUUUCGAGACCAGUAAUUGAAUAAUAAUUCAUAGGCUCUAGAGAGAAGUUCAAUUUGAUGAAAAAGUAGUUAAAUCCUAAAUAUAUAAUAUAAAUAUGUACACACACAAGGCGUAAAAAGAUGAUGUAAUUAAGCGAGUGGAGACUCAUGGUUCAUGUUUAAGGAACGUGGAAGGAACCAUGUCUUGAAGAAGUCCAUAGUCAGGAACCUGGUGUUGAUGGACGUACUGAUGAAAAGGGCUAAAGUUUUCGGCAAACAUUGAACCAGCGGGUGCUUGGUUAUUCAUCUGAUGAUGAUAGUUAGGCAUCUGCAUGAGCAACUCGUGCGGGAAGCUUGGUCUCCCCAGUGGCGAUGGGGUUAACAUGGAAGGUGGGAACAUGGAAGGUGGGAACAACCCAGCUGCGCUUCCUCUCAGUGUUGUCGGAAGUGGGUGGUUGUGUUGACCUUCGUAUGUUGUGAUCACAGUGGACGGAUCCUGGAAUGACCUCUCUACUCUUUUCUUCACCGUGCACUUCUGAGUAGUGCACCUGUAGUAGCUUCUGCAAUGAUAAACAGAAAUGUAUCCCUUACAUAAUGAUAAAGAAGCUGGAUAAAUUUUCACCAGUGGAAGCACGAGUUGGUGUUUGUUUCCCGAGAAAAUCUAAUCAUAUUCACACACAUACAUACAUAUUAUUUAAGCCUACUUUAUAGCUUUCAAAGACAAAUACCUAACGGCUAAACCCUCAAGUUAUUACGUACAGAUUAAGUUUCUAUAUUGACGGAUCAUCUAGGUGCAAGUCAAAAGAAGGGGGCGAGAAGAUGUAAUGCAAGAUCAAGGUUUCAGACACAAUUUCGCAAGUAGUUUCUUUAGUUGAUUGUCUAAAAGAUAAGAUUAUUUUCAACAUAUGUGUUUGGUUGUAGAUUAAGAAAACGAAAGAACCAAACCUCGGGUAUGGACUGUUUUUCACAGCUUUUUGUCCAUAUUUUCUCCAUCUAUACCCGUCUUCUAACUGAUCAACUUCACUUUUAGUUACGAAAGCAAAUCGUGGUUCUCUUUGCUUCUUCUCCCCUUUCAUUUUCGCUUUGUUUCUAUUAGAUACAAUAAACACAACCAGUUACAACCUCAUAAUUUGUUACCAAUAAUAUUAUGAAAAAGAAGAAAAAAAAAAAAGAAAAGAAACUUAGUUCGUUUACCCUUUCUUUGAGCUUUCACCGCCAUCGUCCGAUCCUUUUGGCUGCCCAUCUUUCUUACUCUUGUCUGAAUCUUCUUCGCAACCAGCCUCACUUGAUGAAGAAGAAACAGAAGAAUUAAGAGUCACCGUAACUUCACCGGUAUUGCCUCCUAAUUCAUCCGCCCCAACGUGCUGCUUCAUCAUUGUCCGAUUGCCGCCUUCGACGGAAGAAAACACUUCCGACGACGUAGGUGACAGACCGAAAGCUUUCUCAAGUGAACCGUAGUCCAUGGAAGUACUGUGUAAGCAAUCGGUGAAGCUCAUGUAGGAAGGAUCAAUGGAGGACGAUGAAACCCUGUACAUGUGAUCAGUUUCACCACCAUAACUUUGCUGAUCAUGAUCAAUAUUGUUGAAUGCACCCCCAUGGUAGUAAAAGUCUCUGAAUCCAUGAUCCGACAUGGAGAGAUCGAUCAAGAAGACGAAUAACAAAAGAAUCAAGGGAAAAAAAGUUGGAAGGGAUAGGAGAGAGCUGGGGUCUGAAAUAUUUUAUGGUUUUGGACUUUCAGGGUUUCAGGACAUCUCUUUAUGUUGUUUGAGUCAUAUAAAUACAGACAUAUAGACAUUUCAGCCAAUAUACAUGUAAAAGUCGUGAUGAAAAGAUAUAGAGAUAGAAAGCACUGUAUAAAAGAAGGUUUGACAAAACACCUUCCAAUAGGAAGAGCAAAAAGUGGCUUCUAGUAUGGAAACAUUUCCAGUCCAUACUUGGCAUUCCCUGACCCACACUUUGUAGUCACCCCCCUUAAUUAGGUCUUAGCCCUUCUUUUUUCCUAAACUCUCAUCUGCCGGACUGUGUGCGAAUAUAUAUUUUCUAAAAAGUUGGUUUAUAUACAUUAUCUGUAAAUUUAAUUUGGUUUACAAUAAAUUUCUAAUUUUGUAGUACAAUUUUGUACAAUAAUAAAAGAAGGUGAAAAUUAAAUGAGAAAAAAGAAAGCAUGAAAUUUGGGUUUUUUUGGACAAACAAAAUAAAAGGGUUAAUUAUUGUUUAAUAAUAUUAAAUUACCGGUUAUAAAUUAAGAAAUCUAAAAAUGUUUGAAGUCUGCACUGGGGAAACAAUUUAUCAUCUAGGAGUUCAACCUGACUCGCGUAAGGAAAAGAGGAUAAAAGAUUAAAAAGGAAAAAGGAAGGAGAGUGGGAGAACGCGCUAGAAAGGAGCGUGGGGAUGCGGAGGAGAAGUCAGCGAAGAAUACCAGUAAGGGGUUACAAUCAAGGGAUGCCUUUUUAGGGGACGAUGAAAAAGAGGACCCAAAGAGAAAAUAAAACGGUCAAACAUUCAAACUUGAAGAACUAUUAAUAGUUUUUUUGGAAUAUUAGGCAUACACGUGGCAUUAUUGGCACCGGCAUUUGACCGUAGCAAAACCAUCAUCCGGCACGUGGGGGAAACCUUUUUGCUGCUUCUGCUUAUGCCUACCCUAACGUCACCCCACACCUUAUUUCCCUUUUUACCCUUGCUUUCCGUUUUGGCCCCCACCCUUUCGCCUAGUCUCCCACGUUUCAAUCCCAAAUGCCUUGGGUAGUUCUUCAUACAAAUUUUUUUUAGCAACAAAAACGUCAUGCCUACUUUAGAAUUUAUUUCUCCAAUAAUUUGAUAAAAUUUAUAUUUAAGAUUUGAACUUCGAAAUCAAUAAUUACUUAGAUUCAUCUGGAUUUGUUAAUUUUAUUAUUGGAUUUUUUUUUUAUAAAAUUGAAGUUUAUCAGCCUCCAUGCCGUCCGUUGAAAUCAGGUGUUAGAGUGGAUCAAAUCCAAAACUGGCUUUGAAGGUGGAGGAAUUAAUGUUGUGUUGCCGGAUAAGAAUAAUGGUAUUUAUUAAGAGUUGUUGCAAAUUUGUCUUCCAAGUCUGCCAAUUUAUGUAUUUACCCUAUUUAGUAUCAUGAUCAAUUAUAUCUAAUUCAAAAAUAUAUCAUAUCUAUUUUAAUUUUUAAUCUUUAUAUUUUCUUACCAAUUUGGUCCUCCUUCUUUUUCUAAUUAAAUUUAACCAUUAAUCUUUUAAGAAGAGUUAAAUCAUUUUUUUCAAUUAAAACAUUAAUUUUUAAGUAUGUUAGCGUGAUAACCAUUAACCUGUGUAGCAAUCUACGUAGCAUUAUUAUUUUUAUGUUUAAAAUUCAAAAAAUUAUAAAAAGUUUAUAAAACUUAAAAAUAAAAAUAGCAUGAAAUAUAUAUUAAAAAAUUUGACAUUUUAACCAAUAUUUUCAUAAAAAAAUAUAAAUUAGUUAUUUUAGUAAAAAAUUCGUUUUAUUUUUUUGGUGUGUUAUACUGAUAUGAUUGCACUGCCAAGAAGUACUAAAAGUAGUUCAGCGGUAAUUGAUUCUAUCGAUGUUUACUAAUAGCUACUUUUUGAUUUGAAGCCAAAAUCAUCCGCAUUUCCAACUUCCUUCUUCUAUUUCAUACGUUAUACUAUUUAACUCAAUCGUCUUUCUAUUCAUCCAAGACCGAUUGAAAUUUUUUAUUUAAAAUCCAAACCAUGAUAUUUUAAAUGUAAUUAAGAUUGAAAUGAAGUAAGAAAUAAGUGUGUCUUUUAAAAUAUAUAUUAUGAUUUCUUUACAAAAAAAAAUAUUUUAACUUUUCAGUUAAAAUUUUAAAAAUUAAAUAUAUUAAAUGGAUGAUAAAUGUUAUAACCUACUUGGUAAGUAAAUAAAUUUUAAGCCGUGGUAAAUUCUGCAAAAUAAGAGAUAUUUAAGAUUUGUCGUGAGAAAUUUAUUUGUUAAAAUACAAUACAACAAAAACUUUAUCUUGUUUUAUUUAGGAAGUGUUUGGAAAGCUAUCUGAUAAUUGAAUCCAAGUGUAAUUGUUUAUAAUUACACAAAAGUGACAUGUUUGAGUAAUUGGAAUGGGUGAGUCUCGCCAAUUUGGGUAUACUUAGAGCACCCUAAUUAUAUUUUUCAAUUAUUAAAGGAGAGUGAGAAUUAAAGUAAUUAUACACUUAGUUAGACCCAAUUUAACUUAGUUUUUUUUAUAUAUAAGUUAUAAAAAUUAUAUUAUAAAGAUAAACACAUAUGAGUGUUUGAGAUGAUUAUGACAACAUAUAUAUAUAUAUAUAUUACAAAUCCUAAAAAAUUAUUAUAAAAAUAAAUUGUGUAUUUUAUAAAGUUAAAAUAAAAAAUAUUAUUUAAAUCCUAAAAUUUUUAAAAUUAUGACCAAAUUUAUUAUAAAAAAUAAUAUAUGUGUUAUGAAAGUGUUAUAUUAUAUUUACUUUUUUUCUAUCUCAUGCAAUGCAUGGAUUACUCAUAUGUUUUAUAAAAUUAUUAAUUAAUAUUUAAUAGUCACAAUCAUUAAAAAAAUACUUUAAAAUUGUGUAAUUUAUUUAAAUUUUGAUAAGAUAUUUUUAUUUGGUUAUUAAAAAAAUUAUAAACAACAUUUUGAAUUUUAAAAACUUGUAAAAUUAUUUUAAAAAUAAUAUUUCAAAUUUCUGAAACUUUUAAAUGAAAAAAACUUUUGAUAAAUUAUUUUUAUAUUGUAUUUAAAAAUAAUUUUACUUUUUAGCGUUAAAUAUAAAAUAGUUUACAAAAGUAUAAAAUCAUUUUUAAAUACAUAUAACGUAAAAAAAAUAAGGAAAGGAAAUAACUUACAUUAUAAAAGUGUUAUAUUAUAUUUAUUUAUAAAAAUUUAUAAUUAAAAAUAUAGAUAUAACUUAUUUAUGUAUUCAUAUUAUGUAUUAUAAAAAUAAUAUAUUUAUCCAUAAAUAAAUAUUAUGGUUGUUUUUAUAGUAACUUAUUUAUAUAAAAAAAUAACAUUCUAAAGUUAUGGAAAUUAUAUUACUUACCAGAAAUGUUGUGAAAGAUUUUGACCAUUUAUAAAAUCUUUUUUUACAAAGGUUAUAUAUUAUAAAUUUUAUAUUGUUUUUAACUUAAAUUACAUAGUAUAAAAAGAGAUAUAAUUUACUCUAUGUCUUUCUCUAAAUUAGGUUUAUAUAUGUCUUUACAAUUAAAGUUAUAGACUAUUUGAAUUAUGAACCCUGAUAUUAUAAGAUCAAUGCUAAUUAUGCAAAUAUAAAAUGUUUUAUUGUAUCAUUUCAUGGGGUAUGAUAUCAUUUAAAAGAAUGUUGCCAAACAGAAACACCAUACCAUAGACAACUUGCGAGAACUCUCUAAUUUUAGACAUUCAGAACUUCAAAAUAUGGUUGAUAAGACAUUUUGUUGUUUUAAAAAAAAUCUCAUAUUAACAGUAUUACCUUAGUAUAACAUAAAAAAAUAAAGUUGGAUCAUAUUAGCAUAUUGCAUAUUUUAUAACUUCAAUCAUAAGUGGAAUUGAAAUAAUCCAUACUUCGAAUAGUACAUGGAAGAAUGAGAUCUUAAUAAUUUUAGUGACGUUGAUUCAAAUUCAAAUGAUGGUGAACUUAGUCAGUAACCAAUAGAUAAAUAUAAUAAGCAUAUGUUCAAUAUUAAAGAGGGAACAACUCAAUAAAUAUGUAUUGAAACAAUUAGAUAGAAUUGCAUAAGAGGUUUAUUUUUCAUGUUAUUUUUAUUAGUAUUCGUACUGCCAACUACUUUUUUAGAUUAACAUAAUACGUAUGAUGAUUUUAUUUAAAUUUUUAUUAUUUUUUAGAAAUUAUUUUUAUCAUACUAAUCAUUUUUUUGCAGUAAUUAGCCAUUUUUAAUAAUAUAAAUUAUGUAACUUUGUACUUCAAAUUGUACUAGCAAGCAUGACAUUGGGAGCUAUGAUGUAAUUACACCUGGUCAUCUAAACAUAUUUAGGAAAUUACAAUUCGUUGUAAUUACAAGAGAGUAUAAUUAUUACCCUAAUAAUUACACUUUCAUUUAAAUACUGUGUGAAUGUUAAAAAUUAAAUAUAAAAUUUAAAAAUUAAAAAAUAUUAUAAUACUAUUAGUUAAUUUUAAAAACAAUAAAAUUAGAAUUUUGUUAACUCAAUCGAUAUCCGCUUUAACUUGUUGCAUCAAAUUUAGUCGGUGAUUUAUAUAAAUAGAGACAAAUAAUAUAAAAAACGUAAAAUAGUCUUGAAUUGAAUGACGCAAACUAUUUAAAAUAUAAAACGUGAAAUUUUUAAUAAGUUCGUGACAUUGGAUUAAAUUAAUCAUUUUACCAUUAAAUAGGUAAUUUUAAUUUUAUAUUGUUGAAAAGAAUUAAAUAAGAACAAUUUAGAAUAGGGAUAACAUUUAUUAUUUAAAAAAAACGACAUGAUAUAUAUUUUUCAUUUAAAUUUAACUCCAAACAAAAUAUUCCAUCUAUAGAAUCAUAAAAAUGUUUUCAAAAUAUAACUUUGUUAAACAGUAAAUGAUAAAUUCAUAAAUUGUAAAUAUUAACUCUGUUGAAAUUGGCAAGGUAUUUGAACUGGAUUGGUGGUCUAACUGUUAGAGCACCAGUUCUUGGUUCGAUUGGUUUGUCCAGUCCAAUUGAAUAAAUUAUUAAACAAAUCAAAAAAAAUAAUGAAGAAAACUAGUUCAACCGUUUCGAUAGGUUAGUUCAAGCAAUUCAUGGAUCAAUCAAUCCAACCCUUUUUUUGGGCCGGUAUCUUAAUCAGUUCUUUAUUUAAUUGGUCUGGCUUAAAUAUAAAAAUUGUGAAAAUUAAUCUUAUUUGAUAUGUUUUAAUAAUAUAGAGACUAAAUUAAUAGAGGAGAUACAUUUAAAUUCAAUCCUAUAAUUGAGGAACCUACCACCUACAUUUACAAAAUAUAAAUGAUAUUUCUGUAUUGGCUAGAAAGGAAUCUGAUAUAAAACUUACAUAAGUUGUAAUACUUUUAAGUAAUAAAUAUAUAUAUAUAAAAAAUACAACUGUAGAAAUACCUAUUUCUUUUGUCUAGAUCGCCAUAAGCUUUUUCAAAUUUGAAACUUAGCUUAUGUAAUUUUAUAUUUAAGAAUUCAGUUCGUUUAUCUUUUAGAUUUUAAUUGUAAAAUUUAAGUUAUUACAAUAUUAUUUUCUAAUUAUGUGGUUAUUAAAUAAAUACUUUUUUAUUUUAAAUUGUCACACUAAUAAAUUUAACGGUAUUAGUAAAUAGACUUAAAUUUUAAAAUAUGAAAAAUAGAAUGAUAUAAUUCUUAAAAAUUAAAUUUCAAAUUCGAGGAGAGUAGUCCCUCGACGCUUUCUUUCCUUUCCUUGAUCCUAAACAAUAACAUUUCAUGGCCUAAUCUGGAGGGUUUUUAUUAAUGCAUUAGAUACAUAAUACAUACAUUAUGUAGGAUAUUAUAAUAAACUAAAACUGGAAAGUGAAAAACGACAGCACUGAAAUUACUACACGACAACCCAAACUCACCAGUUUGCCAAAGAAUUAGUCAGAAACAUCAAGCUUUGAAAACAAAAAGGAUCAAAUGCCAUAAAGGUUGCUUUAACAUGUAAAUUACUUGUUUUGUUCUACAUUUUGAUCCCAUCACUUUAACACCACUCAAACAAAGAAAAGACACCUGUGUGCAUGCAUCUUCGUAUGUAGUAAUAAAACUAUACUCGGGCAAAAUGAAAAUAGUCAAUUAGAAAAAAAAAUUAAACCACAAAAUUAUUUAUAAAUAGUACUUAUAAUAAACUAAUUAAAAGCUUUGUCUUAUUCGUAAGUGAAAGCUAUAGAAUAAGUUAAUGGAGCCGUAAUUUGUGGCUAAUUGUUUGCUUAAACUUGAACCUUGAUAACAUGUCAUUGUCAUAGCUUUUGAUUUAUUACAAGUCAAAUUAUUCACUUGGUUCCAUCUAAUUCAAAGCCGAUGUAAGAUUAAGUUUUUGAUAAUAAUAAAAAUUUAAUUUCAAAUUUAAUUUAAUUCUACUCAUAAACAACUCCAAUAACGUAAAGUAUUUCAUCAAAUAAUUUAUUAAUUAUAAUAAGUUAUAUUUUGAUUAAAACCAAGUUGUCUAGAAAACUAGACCAUUGACUCCUCCUUUGGGUUUUUUUUUAAUGAAAUAAUUAAUUGAUUAUAUCAAUCAAAUAUUCAAAGGGCAAAGGUCCAUUUUCUAUCUAAUAUGGAAUGACAUAAAUCUACCCACUUCUUAAAUGUGUUAGUUGUUGAGUGACAAUUUAUAUUAUUUCUUUUUAAUUUGAUGAUAUCACGAAAUAAUAAUGACUAGCUUAGAGGAAGUUACCCAUCCAUGACAUGACACGGCAUCAACCAAAGUUCCAAAUUUUUUUAAUACAUGACACGACAUCAACCAAAGUUCCAAAUUUUUUUAAUCAGUCUUACCAUGUAGAAAAUCACCACCAGUGCAAAAUCCAUCCACUUCAUUACAUUUAAAAUUAAAAGAGAGAAAAAACACUAAUGGUGCGUAUAGAUGUACGAUACUUUUAUUUACAAUUAGUAUAAAAAUAGUGGUGACACUAAGAUUAGAUACAGUAGCAUGAGACAAAAAAAGCUAAACACACCGUACCACACCUUCAAAUCCACCUUAAAUUUGAUUAAUAAAUUUAUACAAAUAAUUUGAGAAUUCUAUCUUUUUAGAAUCCAAUAUAAUUUAUUUGGAAUUUCAAAAUUUUUAAAAAAUAUUUUAACUCAUCAAGAUGUUAGCUUUAUUUAUGCCAUAUACGUAGAUUGUCAUGUGUAUAUUACGUAAGCAAUUAAUUAAUUUUUUAAAUUUUAAAAACUCAAAAAAUAUAAAAAUUACUAAAAAAUUGAAACUUAUUAAAGAGCCUAAAAAAUAUUUUUAAUAUUUUUAUUUUUUUAAAAAUUAAUUAAUUGCUAACGUAGUCUACACAUUGACUGUCACGUGUAUGCCACAAUACUAAAGUUAACAUACGUUAAAUUUUCUAUCCAUUUUGGGUAAUUUGAAAAACAAUUCAAAUUCAAAUGUUAAAAGAGACGAAAAUUUAUAUGAAACGUUAAAAAUAAUAUUUUUUUUAUAAAGUCAGAGAGUCAAAUAAUUCAUUAAAUAAUUAUUUUAAUUAUAAUUGUAAUCUUAAACUAAAUCAAAAUAAAUUUAGAUAAAACUUAUAUAUUAAUGAGAUUUUGUUCGUAAUAAAUAUAAAGAGAACUUAUAUAUAAUUUACAUAAAGAAUUACUCCAACAUGUAGUCUUAAAAUUUUCAAAAUUUUAGGAUUAGUUUGGUUUUUAAAAAAAUAAAAAUAUGUAAAAUUAGAAGAAAAAAAAUAUUUUCAUCAUUUUCAUUAAACAUGUUCUGGAAAAAUGGAAAUGAUGAAAACCAUUUAAAAAAAGAAAAUACCUCUUAUUUAUCCUUCUUCAAAUCCGUUUUGAACUUUCUUCUUACAAAAAAAGUGGCUACAAGCUUAAUAGCCUAACAUUACAUUGGAGCACAACUUGAUGCAGGCUGAACUAGAUAUUAAAUAAAAAUAGUAAUUUUUUUAAAUAAAAAAAUAUUGAUAAGUUUAAAAUGGGCUUAAGUUAAUCAUUUACAAAUAUGAAUAGAUUUGGAUAAAAUUACAAGCUCAUAUUUUAAUCCAAUUAAGGGUCUGUUUGUUUACAUGUAAAAGAUUUUACGGUAAAUGCUUUCUGUAUUUUUUGUGUUUGUUUCACAGAAAACAACUUGGUCAACGGAAAAUAACUUAUAGAUCAACGUAAAAUAAGCUUUUUUUCUUGUAAAAUGGACUUACCCGUAAGUCAUCUUCCGGAAAAAAGUUCAUCUACAAGUAAUUUUAUUUUAUAUAAAAAUUAACUUAAAUCAAGCUUAAUAUUAUGAUAUUGAUAAUAAAUUUUAUUUUUAUUUUUAAAAUAUUAAUAUAAAAUAUUAUAUUUUAUAAUAUUAUUAAACAUACAUAUUUAAUUAUUUAUAUUUAGUCGUAUAAUAAAUUAUUUAAUAUUUCAAUUUUAUUUUUAAAAAUAAUAAUUUUAAAUAAUAUUCUUCACAUAUUAUUGAAAACGUUUAAUAUUAAUAUUUUAAUAACAAAUAUUUAUUACAAUUAUAAAUAUAUUAAUAAUAAAUGCUUUGUAGUAUAAAGGUUAAAACAUGUCAUGAGUCUAUAUGCUAUUCACUAAUUUGCAAUUUAGUCUCUAUACAUUUAUUUUUAAGAAUUUAGUCUCUCUAUUUUUCAGAUUUGAAAAUCAAGUCCAAUUGUUGACAUUGUUAAUUUUCUUUUGUCAAAAUUUUAAAUAAAAAAUACUCAAUUGGUAGUCAUAUAACUAAAAGAUGGAGUUGUAAUGAACCUAAAUUUAACAAAAUAUUUUUAAUAUAUGCAAAAACAAUGCAAAAUAUAAAUUUAUAGAUAUAAAAUAAAUUUAAAUGAACAAUGGAAAGAUAAGAAAAUCUCAAACGUAUGUUUGUUUUGUUAAAAACAACUUUUGUAAAAUAUUUUUAAGAAAUCUGUCAAACACUAGAAAUUAUUAACUUUUACAGGAAAGUAAAUUAUUUUACAAAAAUCAUUUUUCGGAAGUUAUUUUUUGAUAAACAUAAAGUGUGUUAAUAUCACACGUAAAUUCGACCCGAACUUAGAUUGGCCCAUUAACACCUGUAUCUCCAACCCAAACCAUGAUUUUAAAUAUAAAAAAAAACAAUAGUAAACAAAUAGCUUUUCAAACUAAAUCCUGUUUUUAAUUCGAGAUUUUAACAGAAACAGAAAAAUUAAAAAUUUGGUUGAAAUUACUUUUUAUCCUCGUUAAAGAAAUGUAAUAUAUCUUCUAUUUUAUAAAAUUAUAUUUGAAAUAAUUAUUUUAAUUUUUUAAAAAGAAAUAAUAAAUAUUAUCAAAAUUUUCAAAAACACAAAUUGUGGAGAAAUUAUCAGAGUGUGCAACCAAAACGAACAGUUUCGUAUUUCAGUUAAAAGAACAAAAUACUAAAUUGAAAGUUGAAUUUCUUUGCUCAUUUUCAACUAUAAAUGGUCAAAGGAUUAAUAUUAUAUGGUAUCUCAUGUCAAAAAAAAUUAUGAAUGCAUAUAUGGUUUGGUAAUUUUUUAAAUUUCAUAGAAUUUAAUAUUAAAGUACAAUUAAUUAAAUUAGAAUGUUCAAUCUUCUUUUCUUUGCAACUCAGUGGUACAUUUUACGUUUAUUUAUAAGACUAGCAAAAGAUUGAGUGUCCCUAUCAAAUUAUCAAUUUAGCAGAGGGCAGGUUUUUGGUUAGGUGUCUACACAGAAAAAUAAAUCUUUUCGAUGUCGACCCAUUUAUUUAUUUAUUUAUCAAAUUUACAAAAUUACCCCUUAAUUGCAACUUCCCCUAAUAAUUUCAAAGCAUAAUAACUUAUUCAGCCCUCCAACUUUAUAAAAAGAAAUCAUUUUAGCCUUUUGUUUAAUUUUUCAUUUUUUUUAACCCUUAAAUUCGUAUUUUUAUCAAAUCACCCUAAAAUGAAAGGAAAAGUUAACGUUUGUCAAUUUUGCUGACAUGACAUACUCGUGUAUUGCCACACGAAUAACACAUUAAUAUUUAAUUAUUUAUUAAAUAUUAAAAAAAUAUUUUUAAAAAUUAAUAAAUGUUAACAUGUCAUCCACGUGUAUGCCACAUUAGCAAAGUUAACAAAUGUUAACUUUUUCAUUCAUAUUGAGGUGAUUUAACAAAAAACAUAAACUUAAAGGCUAAAUAAGACAAAAAGUUGAAUAAAUGACUAAAAUAACUUUUACUAUAAAAUUAAAAGGCCAAAAAAAAUAUUAUACAAUAUGAUUCUUGUACAUAUAAUCAGAUUGUUAGAUGUAAGUGAUAUAUAGAGUUGAGGGAAAUUCCAAAUUCCAAUAAAAGUGAGUUCAAAUUUAUGUUUUAAUUUGCAAAAAAAUAUAUCCCAAGUAUGUGAAAUCUAAAAGGUUAUGAAUUAUUUCCCCUUUUCUCCUACACCCAAACGUCCCUUUCUAUCUUUUUUUUUUUUAAUUAGAACUUAAGUUUUAGUGACAUACAUAGAGCAUGGACAAAUCUAGUGGACCGUAUAGGGGUCAUGGCUACUCCAAAGAUUUUAAUUAUAUAGUUUUAUUACAUAUAAAUGCUAAAAUCCGGUCAUUGACUACCAUGACUUUCCUUUUACGUCUUCGUUUUGAUCCAUUCGGUUUCAUUCAAUUUCUUUGAGAUUCAUUGCAUGUUAUCCUAAAUAUAAUUUGGAACGUAUGUUUAAUAAUAAAAUAGGUGCAUGCAUUAAUUAGAUUUGGCGCAAAGGAAAAUAUAUAUGAAGUACAAUUAGGAAUAAGUAGUUCUCAAAUGCUAUAAAUAACACAAGGUUUGCGUAACGCCAAGUUUGCAAAUAUAUAUUGUGACUGUAGCAGUUGUUGAAGAGUUACAUUAACAUUUAACAUCUUCCCUAUUUUGUUGUUUUAUUCGGAGGUGGUGUUGGUUAUUAUUUGUAUUUUGUUACUUUUUUUUUAUUGUUUAAUAAGUCUUCGCUUUUAAAGUUUUUUUGUAUUUCUUAUACAUGUAGUCUUGCUUUUGCAAGUAAUUUUUAGGGAUGGUUUUGUCGCCAUCCUCUACAGUUUAGUGGAUGCUUGAAUUUUUUGUUGAUUUUUGCCCACUGCUUUGGACCAUCCAGGAUUGAUUUCAUUAUCGUAUUAAAUGCUUGUAACACUCUAGAUAUGUCGUGCUUGAGUUGUGACAGAGCCAAUUAUUAACGUGUCAUAAUAUUCUAUUAAUGCCAAGACUGAAACCGUUGUUGUAUUGAUGAAGCUUAUAUUUAACCGUUAGUGUUUUUUAUUUUUUUUUUCGAAUUAUAUUGUCCCAUUCAUAAUAUGAAAUAAUAAAUUUCUCUUUCAAAACAUCUUCCCUAUUUUUAAUAAUUCGUUAAGUCAACUUUUUUUAAAAAAAAUUGUUGUAAUUAUUAGAAUCACUGUUUAACGACAAAAUCGCCAUGUUAAUGAUAAUUAAAGCAACUCCAAUAAUAAUAAUAUAUGAAUAAAUAAAGUAAUUUUAUUUUUGCCACAUUAGUUGUUAACUUAAAAGAAGGAUGAAUAAUAAUGGAUUUGGAGAAACUUCAAUGUUAGUGGGGUUUGCAUGGAAAUUAUGUUGGAAAUGAGAAUAGAAUUCAUAUGACACUGAAAGAACAAACAAUAUGGAAUUCAUAUUUUAGUCUUAUUUAUUAUAAGUCUGCUCAAUUUCUCUUAAAUAUAAUUUUUUUUUCCAAUUCUCUAAUCUCACAAAUUUGUGCCGAUAAAAAAAUAAAAUUCCAUAAAAAUCUGAAAAAUAAAUAAAUAAAAAACACCCUUUGUUGUAGUCUUAGUUAAGUUGGAGCAUAUAUAAUUCUGAAAAUGUGAAAAGGUCUUCCCACACUGUUUGAUUCUUUCAAUCGGUCAAAAACAGUUUUGACUGGUUCUAUUCUAACUAAUUGAGCUAAAGUGUCAAUUUGUUUACAAAUAAUUCAUUCCCACCUUCAUAAGUUAUUUUUACUAAUUUAAUUACUCAAUUAUUUUUUUUUAAUAAUCUGUCCCACCAUUUUACCAACUACAAUUGCUUUAUAUUUUUAUUUUGAAAAAAAAGAAGAGAAGGAAUCUAUCUCUUUCUCCUUUUUAAUUUUAAAGAGCAUGCAUAAAGGAGACUAGAAUUCAAAUUUAGUAGAUGUUAUUUAUUUAUUAAAAAUAUAUGAUUAGGCUUUCACAAAUUUCUUGAGUUGACUUGGCAAUGCUGCAAUGCAUAUAAUAAUCAACAAUUUUAAUUUAUAUGGCACAUUGCUAAAUCAAAUUCAAGGUCUUUGUCCAUAGUCAAGAUCACCGCUGAAGACAGUCCUGUCUAUUUCACUACAGCUCAGAAAGGGUUUUGCUUUGAUUCUCCAAUUUUAGUCUCUAAAGAUAUGGGUAAAAAAAGAUGGAAAAGUAAAAGGAGAUUGAGAUUAAGUGGGGACUAUGCAUUAUAUAUAAACUUUUUGAGUUAGGGUUUUGGUUUAUCCAACAUCAGAAAGUUAAGCAAAGGGAUUCUUGAGGAUUCAUAGCUUUUAUAUAAUCAAGUGAACUUUUGAAUCUAAAAAAUAAAGUUGGCUUUAUGGAAGACAAGAACAUAUGUAGCUACAUGUGGUCUAAAACACCACCUUUUUUCAUUCGUUCAACAUUCAACAAAGUUUACCCAAAACAACAUUCAACAAAGUUCACUGAUUCACUUAAUUUUCUCCAGCUAAAAUCAUAAUAUAUAUAAAAAGAUUGCACUCAUUCAUUCUUCUUCUCAUGAUGCUCAUGUGCAAACUUUCAACCCCCCCCCCAAAAAAAAAGAAAAAAAAAGAGGGCUUGACUUCAAUGUCAAGUCUCUUAAUCUUGAUGGGUUUGUUUUUUUUUCCUACAAAUUGAUAUUUGUAGGCUAAUUGGUAUUUUCCUAGCCAAAAAUAAAAAUAAAAAUGCUGAGUUAGGUGUUAUCAGCUGGUCCUUUUGAAUAAAAAUAAGUUGGUCAACAGUUUGAAUAAUCUUGUUUAUGAACAGAAAAUGUUGCUUAUACUUUAUCUUUUUAUGACUCUUAUCCGUUUGUCAAAGGAGCAAGAACUGCUUCUGAAACCCACAAUUUUUAGGAUCUACUGCCGGGCGAUGACUGCUAAUAGAGUGGGGCUCAAAUUUAAUCAUUCAAUCUUUUUCUGUUAUAUAGAAUUAAGCAUAGUGGAUAUUUGGUGACUUAACCUAAAAUUAAGUUUGAUCCAUAAAACCCUUUUGUCCUUUUUCUUUUCUUUAAUCAUAUUCAAACUCAACUUUAAACUAGUUGAGUUUGAUUUUAAUUAAGUUUGCUAUUAUUUGUGGAAAUAAAAUUUUAAAAGCCACUCAAAUCAAGCCCUAAAUACUACAUGAGUUAAGUGAAUUUACAUAAGAAUAGCAUUUAAACUUUAGUUCAGCUCAGUCUCCUAAAGGUUAUUUAAUUUUUUUUUUCUAAGGGAGCUUUAUACACUUCUAAUAAAAUUUAUUAAUUUCAAAUUAAAAAACUUAUUACGUAUCUACUAUUUAAAACUAAUCAUGUGUUACAUUCUUAAUCCGUGAUAAAAAUAAUAAUUAAGCUAUGAAAUUUACACAUACCAUCACAAUUCAAGUUAACCAUGGCAUCAACAGGGAUGGGGCACAUUUUCAACAUUAGUGGCUUCAGCGACAAUACACUAGUCAUUAACUUGGCCACUGCAAGAUUCCAAGUUAAUCUAUGAUUAAUGUCUGCAGCAGAAUUCGUCCAUUUCGAACAUAUCCACAUGAAUCAAGUUGCUGAACGGUUCAUUGGGUAGGAUCUUUUGACCAAGUUUAUCCCAUUGGAUAGAACAUUAUAGGAUGGGCAAAAUCCAAAAAGUUUGAGCUGAACAUGCGGUUCAUAUAAUUGCUUACUUCGAAUGCGAACUAGUCGUUUCCUUGAUUGAAUAUUUGGUUCCGGCACCUUUCCAUCAUUUCCUUGAGCUUGUAUGUCACAAACUUUGAUUUGCUACGUGUAUAAUUCAACAAUCAAUCAACUAAACUGCAAACUUUUUAUUAUUGUAGAUAAAAAUGGAAUUUGAGGUUAAAUCACAAACUUUCAGGAAAACACAUAAAUAUUGGCAUGCCGGCGAAGUAGAAAUCUGAAGACAAUGCAGCAGAGUAAAGCAAAAAGCCAACCAGGCAACUUCUUAAAUGCCCAAUAUUUAACCAGGAUUGUGAGUUAGUCAUAAUUCUUGCAAAAUAUAAUGGAGAGUAAGCAAUAGUGCGACACCUUUCUCCUAUUAUAGUUCAAGAAGGAUUUGGCCAUUAAAAUUGGUGUCCAAGCUCUGGAUUUGAAACUUCCUUGGGAGAGAUUGAGAUCCUUAAAGGCAACUUGGUCUUGAAGAGGUAUAAGUAGGGCCGUUCACUGACCUGCUGUUUAUGCUAAAGCAGAAUCCGAUAUCCCCUGGAAAUCCAACUGCCAUUUUCUUGCCAAGGUGAAGGAACUUUGUCAUUUUAGCAUGCAAUGUUCUAUCAUCGAGGAAAUGUUUUCUUAUUAGACCAUGUGUUGUAGAUGCUCUAAAUUUAUGUUUUCACAACUUAGUCAUGUGAUCCUCUGCAUCUAUAUUGUGUAAGUUGGGUUUUUCAGUAGCAAAUGGUCGAAUGAAAAAUGGAGUUUAUUACUGCAUACAGGUAAACAAAUGUGUUGCAUCGUAAUGUUCUCAAGCAGAGCAUUUUUUCUUUCGGUAUCCACUGUCGGUUAUAGUGACUAAUUCCUCUCACUACGAGUGCUUUUCGAAGUGGUAAACGGUUGGUCAUAAAAUGUGCUCCACCGAACUCCCCCGAUCUCAUGAUUAAAGGAACAUCUCAUGUAAGAAUCACUUUAAUAUCUCACAUACAUUGAUAUUUCGGUUCUAUAUUAUAUAUCUGCCUUACUGAACUUUGCAUUUGUCCUGUUUUUGUCUUUUUGGCUUCUGAAGUUAUUUUUGUUCUUUUUCUUAAUAUUUUCUUAAUCCAGUUUUUGUGCAUUAUUGAUGUUACAGUAAUGGUGUUUCAAGAGCAAGUAAAAAGAAGAGGUUUUUUCUUUUGCUCAUCUCAUAAGCUUGUUGAUAUCAAGACAGCGUGCUCUUUUCUUACCUUAAUGAAUUCAACUUUAUUUUUGUACGUUUAUUUUAGAGCAUGAUACGUUAAGUCUCUGCACCAAAUUUUGACUUACAGCUGAAAGUAGGGUUUUACAAGAUUAGUUGUCCUUGAGCUGAAUCUAUAGUUAAAGCCGUUGUUCGAAGACGUUUAAACCGGGACAAGUCCAUCACUACCGCCUUGCUUCGCAUGCAUUUUCAAGAUGAAAUUAUUGAUAAAAUAAAAGGGAUAAUGAUAUAUUUGCCCCCUGAACUUUGGAUAAUCUUCUAAUGUGGUACUUUUACUUUCAAAAUGUCUAUUUUGAUACUUGUACUUUUGCACUGUUAAUCAAUCUAGUACCUUUGACAGACGACGUUAGUUUCUGGCAUGGCGAGACACGCGGCCCAGCUAUAAGUUCCCACAUUUCACAUUUUCCAGAAAAUAUUUUAUUCCCAAAUAAUGAGAGGGACCUCAAAUUAAUUAUACCAAAAAAUAUCUUAAGCAAAAAAGAAGUUUUUUUGGUCAUAUUUUCUUAUUUGAAAUAAUGCAUCAGGACCUAAGAUUAAAUAAUCAAAAAGUUUUUUUUUUAAAUCUUCACCUUUUUUAUUUUUUACCUUCAAAACUAAUUAUUUUUAAUUAAAAUAAAUCUGGGCAAAUCUGAAUGCUCUUAAAAUAAAUCUUUAAAUCUCAAAUAAAAUAUAUUUAAUUUAAUUUAACAUAAUUAAUAAUAAUUUUAGAAAACAUAAUUAAAAAUGAAAAUCCAAUUUUUUUCUCUUUUCUUCUUCUCCUUUUUUUGUAUAAUUUUCCCAUAAUUUUGACAGUUAAUAAUAUGGUUAAUUGUAUAUUGAUGCAAUUAAUAUUUUUGGUAUAAUUUACAUUUUCUCAUCAGUGAAAAUUUUAUUUAUCCAUGUAGAUGAAAAGUAAAAAGAAUUUGGUAGGACAAAGCUAUUUUUUAUGGGUGAGUAUUUGGUAAAUUGAGCAGUGUAUUUUUUUAUUCUAUAAGUACGUUUUAAAAAUUGACAUGUGUCUUUUCUUUUUAAAUAUCUAUUUUUUAAAAUCUUCUAUUUUACCCUAUAAGACAUUGGUCAACUCUUUAAUUCUAUUAACUCUACCUGUGGAGUCUAAAAGUGUAUCAAAUAUUUUCCCUUCUUUUAUUUGUAUUUAGGAUUAACAUUCAAAAUGAAUAUAUUUCUUUGUUAUAAAUAUUUUUGAAAAUAUAUUUUUUCAUACACUUGAAUUCAUACCUAUAAUCUAAUUUUACAUCAUAAUCUUGAAUCCCAAGUUGUAGCCUAUUGUCCGGGUGUUUAUUUUUUUCAAAAUAAUCUGGAUUCAAAUUACGAUUGCAUAAAACAAUAUACAAAUUAUUUUUAAAUAUAUUUAAUUUCAACCAAAAUGUGAGCAAAUUAGAUUAAUUCAAAGAUCUGUUAAUAAUAAAAUUUUUAAUUCUGACUUUCUAAUUUAUAUUAAAUAUUGUAAAAUAAUUUAUCCGACAGAAAAUCAUUAUUUUGAUAUUUUUUAUUUUUUAUUUGAUUAAAAUCACUCAACUGGAAACAAGAAACUUACUGCAAGCUUUCAAAUUCAAUCAUAUUGAUUUUAUGAUAAAAUCUUAACAACAAUUUUAGAUGUAUUUUAUUGUUUAUUAAAAUUGUAAACUUUAUUCUUUCUCUAAAACUAAAUCAAUGAGGCGUCACCCAUUCAAACUGCCAUUUGUUAAACAAUGAAGUGUGGCACUUAAUCUCCUUACUUUGUUUUUUUGUUAAAAAUCUUAUAUAAUAAACUGUCAGCAUCAACAAAGAUCACCUACUUUUUUGACAACAUACAUAAUGGUUCGUAUAAUUGCUAGCCUCGUUUUAUGACAUCUCCUAUGGCACCUUCAUUCUAUUGUAACAAGUUUACCCCAUCGAGUAGAACAUUACAGUCUGAGCAAACUCCUAAAGAGGACCAGCUAAACAUUCAUAAUGGUGUAUAAUUGCUUGCCUCGAAUGCCGACCAAUCAUCUCAUUUAUGACACUUCCCUUGGCACCUUCAUUAUAUUGUAAGGAAGAUUAUAGCAGCUAGGAUUCUUGCAUAUUAAUGAUGACUCUCCACGAGAUCAGCAAGAGUUAUCUUCCCGCAGUUGCCGACAUCCAGCCUAUCAAAUGUCUCGCAGAUCUGCAUGAUGUCUUUUUCUGAUACCUUCCCCAACUCCUUGAGCUUGUAUAUCACAAACUCUAAUUUGCUGCAUGUAUAAUCCAACAGUAAUACUUAACAAUUAAUCAACCAGACCUCGCACUUGUUCGUAUUGUAGAUGAAAAUGGAAUCUGAGACAAAUUUAGUAACUUAAAGCAUAACACAUAACUUUUGGCAUACAAAUUACCAAAAACAACAUUUUAAGAUGCAAAAUAUCGGAGGAUAAUGCAACAAAGUAGGUCUGAGAUAGCUGAUGAGCAUAUAAGCAGCAUGGCAAGAAGUAGAGCAGAAUAAGCAGUGGGCUUCAGUUUGUCCACAACAAAGCAUCUUG
Molecule: long non-coding RNA, 51697 nt
Filed under: Gossypium barbadense (sea-island cotton)
Lineage: Eukaryota; Viridiplantae; Streptophyta; Magnoliopsida; Malvales; Malvaceae
Description: long non-coding RNA (GBAR_LNC016082)
Source: RNAcentral